This 44622-nucleotide long non-coding RNA is filed under the name Sorghum bicolor (sorghum). RNAcentral's name for it is "long non-coding RNA (SBIC_LNC010881)". Lineage: Eukaryota; Viridiplantae; Streptophyta; Magnoliopsida; Poales; Poaceae. The record is from RNAcentral.
AUGUGUUUGCAGUUUGUAGAUCAGAUAAUAACUUUUCCAAAAGGAAUCGUGAAGAACCUUUGCGUCCGAGUUGGUACCUUGUAUGCCCCAGCAGACUUCGUAGUGGUAGAGACCGGAAAUGAUGAGAGAGCACCUAUCAUCCUAGGGAGGCCAUUCUUAAACACCACGGGAGCAAUCAUCUACGCUAGUGCUGCCAAGAUCAGUUUCUACGUCAAAGGGAAGAAGGAGACAUUUUUCUUCAAGAACAAGACUACACAAAUUCCAGAUCAAUCCAGACGUGAGUCAAGGAAGAGGACCAACAGGAGGAACAGGAACAAGCAAGUGUGGACCGAGUCAGCUAAGAUGGUCACUGUAGUUCAUGGAGGCCAAGAUCACCAACUUAAGUCACCGCUUUUGACCAAGAAGGACGACCCAGGAAUGCCAAGCAUUUACUGCUCAAUAAAUAGAUACAACUUCUACAAGACGACUUGUGACACCGGAUCGGGCGUCAACAUAAUGGCCGCAGUCUGUUCGGAACCAUGCCCCUAAGACCAACAUACAUUCAGCUCCAGAUGGCAGAUCAGACAUUUCGAGAAGUUAAAGGAAUAGUAUCCGAUGUCCCAAUCAAAAUCGACGAUCACUUUGUCUACACAGACUUUCAAGUUAUUCACAUGGGAGAAGACGAAUACGAUCCACCCAUCAUCCUUGGAAGACCGUUCCUCAGCACCGUUAAAGCAAUUAUCUACAUUGGAACUGGAGAAGUCCAUAUGCACUUCCCCUCAGAGAAUGUAUGUCGUUAUUUUACUGACCCUAACUAUAUCGUUGAAGAAUCUAAGCAGGUAAGAAAACGACGCAACCGUAACCAGAGGAGGCAGAUCAUCAGGGACGGAUGGGCAGACUAUGAAGGAGAAGUUGUAAGGUCAGAAGACGUAGAGUUUAAACAGAAUUAUCCAGAGGAGAUCGAAGCACCAAGUCAGGUGUGGAAAAUGAAGAUAACUAUACAUGAAGAGGAGGCGCCGCCGGAAGUACCGACUACGCCACCCAACGAACCUCAGGACAAUUAAGAAAAUAGAGAGUCCCGUUCGGAGGACUUAAAAACACUGAACGCCUUGCCAAGAGGUAAACUUGGUAGUUAUCCUUUCCGUUUCAAUUAUUUUAAAUAGUUUACUUAGUUAAUCAUAUUCAUACUAUCCUAAAAAGAAAAUAAAAAUGUGAAAAACAGUAAGCCCCAUGUGAGUAGACGAGUGACAUAAAACCCAUAAGUACAUUCACUGUGGUGGCAUAAAAAUAAAAUAAAUAUUUCUUUUCUGCUUUAUAAAAUAAAAAUAUAAAAACAGGGAGUAAUAUUUAUUAAGGAGUCUCAACAUGAUAAAGGCUAGAUAUUUAUGCUAACACUUAAUCAGUUCCACAAGCUUUGUUGUCUAUUUGAGCUCCACAGAAUUUAAGAAUCAAGAAGACUGGCAGACGGAGGACAUUCUAAUCGCUGUCAGAAUGCUGCUGACUUUCAAAUACACCUCUGCCACCUGCUAGCUACAUCAAGAGAAAUUACGUCAAAAUUCAGCUUGGAGGAGAGCACCCCCAUUUAUCUCGAUAAGUAUUUCUAUCUAUCUUUAUACUUAUAUUAUUUUAGAAUAUAAAUAUACAUAACUAUGAAAAACUAAAUAAAGAUUUUAUGCUUAUAUAUAUAUAUAUAUAUGUCUUUUGCUUAGUGUGUUUAAUAAAUAAAUAAAGUGGCUAUGCUAAUCUGUAACUAAAUAAAACUUAAGCAUGGAUAUGAUGAAUAGUUGCUCUGCCUAAUUUGAACAUUUUAAGUUCUCUCUCAAGUUUAGACAUAACUGUUAUAAUUUAAAGCUUGCUCUAAACCUAAACUUUUGUGAUGAAAACUUGAUCUGAAGUCUAAGUUGUUAACGGAUACGAUAUGGGAAGGUUGAGCUGCUGUUUAUCUGUUUCUAGAGAUGCUAGAAUUCUAGAGAAUUUUAUCUUUGAAAAUCUUUAAAAUGUUGCAUGAUGAGUUCCUGUAUGAUGAGAGUUUUAAAUUCCUACCACAGCCAUAUAUACAUGCUUGCUAGACUUUGAGCCACACAUUUACUAUUUACUGCUUAUGAGCAUUGAGUGUGGUCAAGCUGUGUAGACCCUUAGGAGCUUGUCAUGUGGUUAAAUCAAGAUUCACUUGCACGUUCACUCACAUAUGCUGCUUCUACUCCGGAAGUACCAUUUACAUAUAUCCACCCAUUCCAUCUCCAGAAUCACUUAAAAAUAUUCUACUCCUAAUCCGGGAGAGAAUAAACAAAAAUAUUCCUGUUUUUUCCUUGUGAAAUAAAUGCUCCAGUUAUCUUGUUACUACCACUUGCUAUAUUAUCUCAAGAGAUGAGUGCUCUAAAAAAAUACGAGGAAAUAAAAAGGAGCAAGUGCUCGGAACCUCGAAAGAAAAGAAAAAGUAAAAUGAGAGGUAAAAAUGGACAAGUGUCCGACAGUAGAAUUAGGGGUACAAGAUACCCACCUGAGAGAAAAGAAAAAAAGAAGAGCAUCUCAUUCUCCUCACUAUUCAAAAAGCAAGGAAGGUAUGUAUCCCCUCAAAGAGCAAAAGUAGAAUUAGACUUCCACCACCAUUGUUUCCAUCCGUGUUAUCACCAUCAUCACCAUACACCAUUCAUUAGCCACACAUGCACAUCUUGAUUUGGCUUAUUGAUUUGUUUCUUUGGAUCCAUGGUUUGACUAUGCAAUAAAUGUCUUGUAAGUAUGUAUAUUUUAUCUCCCACCUAUGAGCUCCAGAUAUUAAAGCCUUAUUAGAGUAGGGUGAGAGAGAAGACAAUGUCACUAUGCUUUAUACCACAAAUACCAAAUAUCUUGAGAGAAGGCAUAUACCAUCGCUGCCUUGGUAAGGAUCCAGAAAUACCACAAAAGAGAGAUAUGAGAGAGUCAUACAAGGAAUCUCUGAGUUUUAUUUAAAAAUCUACAAAAACACCAGAGCUAUAGCUGAUCAAAGAUAAGAGACAUGGCACUUGACUAGACUGUUCUAUCUUUUAACUACUCAAUAUAGAAGUGACGGUUACAAGUCCCAUGGUGAAGGUAAAGUAAGUAAGUUUUAAGUCUUGACAGUUUACUCUAACUCAGAGAUAAGAUCUUAUUUAAAAAGCAUGUGUACCGACAAUUUUUAAGAUAUUGCAACAACUUAUGAUCCAUAGCUGAGUCUAUCCUUGCUCAGGGACGAGCAAGAGGUAAGCUUGGGGGAGUUUGUUGAUGGUCCUUAAGUAUCAAAUUUAAUUAUCAAAUAAACAAAGAAAAGGAUCCAAAUGAAAUCAACAUCUAGACUUAGGGUUUUAUCUGACAGAAUUCCACGAGUUUUGGUGUUUGUCUAUUUCUGCAGGGGGUUAUCAGGAAAUACGGAAGAAAGGCCCACACGUCGGGAUUACAUAGAGAUAUUAACGUGCCGCGCAAUUAUCUUACAUCUAGAAGACUCCAGAAGCCACGAAACCGAAGCGGAGGCGAAACGGGGUAAAAAUAUAAAUAAUGAUACCUGGAAUACUUCCCGGUUAAAAUGCUGCAUCGGUAUUAAUCUGUGCGCUUGCAGAUCCCAUUCAUUAUUUAUUUAGAAGAGCAAUUGCAUAUUUCAAUACCGCGUCUCUUAUAUCAUGCUGGGGAUGACAACUUGGCUUAAGUGGUGUAAGGGAUAGGUUUGGCAUUUUUGGCACCGUUACUAGAUUUAGAGAACUUAGUCUACUUCUGGUAAUGAUGUUAAGAAUACCCAACAUGUACCUGCUCAUAGAGACAGGGCAGAGAUCAAGUGCAUGGGCCCUGUUGGUGGAAAACACCAACAGAACCACAAGUGUAUUUGUUCUUCUCUAACCUUAAGCAUAGUGAGCAAGACAAAGUUGAUGGAUAAUAAGAUCAUGAGUGUAGCAUUUAAAACAUUUGUCAGAUCAGAUCACUCAACCUUAUGGAAAGAUAAUCUAUCUAAGUAAAUGUUUUUUUUCUUUACAUGACUAUCAUUUUCUAAAGAUUGAGUGUGCAACACUUUAGUUCAUAUGAUUAGGAGUGUGGGAUCACAAAGGUGGAAGGACUAAACAUAUUGAAUUGACUGGGUUGGUUAAUCUAGAGUUCUAAAUCAUACAUGUUUGUCUCUUUUACUCAUGUGAACGCCAGAACCAAGGAGAAGCUUAUAAAAAUGAUAGUCAAGUACCUUAAGAUGUUACCUUAUUUGAAGAGUGAUGGUACAGUAUCACCUUGUGGAAGCUUUCCUUUCUUAGCGGUUGUGAAUCGUGUUUGUGGCACCCUCCAUGGAUCAUCUCUUGUGAGCUAUGCCUUCCUUGUGUAAAUUGUUAACCUUUAUGUGUCUCUCUCUUUGUCUCCAAUGUGAGUUUAUCUCAGGACUUCCCAGGUCGAUAUUGAAGGUUUUCUUGGAGGGGUUAGUCCAACAAAAUAUCCAAUAUCUACUAUAUCAUACUAUCGGCUCAAAGAUCAACCUAGACACCAUGUCUAAUUUGAUUUAGGAGGGCAUUUUAACCUAAGCAUCAUGCUUAAUUUAAAAUCCUUUGGAAAUAAGAUCAUCAUUCCUAAACUAAUCACCAUGCUUAAUUAAGAGAUAAAUGAAACUACUCCAAACCUAGACAUAUACUAAAGCAAAUAAAGGUAGCAUGGGAGCAUUUAUAGAGAUCUACUCAAGUGGAGAUGAAGUAGUGUGAUUAGUAUUUAACAAAUUGAGCAUGUUUCAUAGGUAGGGACACCCAACACAGCAACAUGGCAAAGGAUGAUUUUAUUUAAAGUACUCCCCCAAGCUUGAAUUUUGCAAAAUUCAAGUUUGGAUGAAUUUAAUUCAAUGUUGUAUGAUGAUUGGUUGGACAUACCUUGUGCUUGUCAUUCAUCUGAUCUUAUUGCUCCAAUCCCGGAAAGGUUAGUGACAAGAAUACCCGAAGGAAUAAUUUUACAAUUAUCCUUAUAUGCUCAAUAGACAAGGUAAUGUUGUAAAUAAUUAAAAGCUCAUGUUAUGAUCUGAUCAGUGCUUAUUUUAGGACACUAAGCUUGUCCUUGGGAAACCAUCAAUUUAUGUCAGUGAAGUGGUUUCCCCUCCAACGCUGACUUAUAUCAAGAUCAACUCAACGAGAUCUGCAAAAUUUAUUAUAGACAUAUGCAUCGACAACCGCCCUUUUAAAGUUUUUAUAAAUAGAAAGGAAGAUGGGGUUGGAGAUCUCAAAUGUGGUGAUGUUGGAGAGACCAAUGGAUUGUGAAGAUGUUGCAUAUGAGCAUGGAGCAAAUGAAGUGGCUAUGAAAUAAAUACCAUGCUCAUUAAUGCUUGGAGUGAAAUCCAUGUGGUAUGGUGAAAAUGGUAAGGUGAGUGUGGUAAAAAAGGAAAAGAAAAAGGAUACACGGACGACUUGGUUCGAAACCAGUACAGCUAUCGUUCCCCGGCAACGGCGCCAGAAAGCUUGUUGGGUAUUUUAAACGCAAAUAGAAAAAUCCGCAACUGCACAGAUACCGAUGUAGCUUUCACCCGGGAGUAUUCCAGAGUAUUGAUUUUCCACAGAGAACGUGAGUGUACUAAUUAAGAUCCAAGAUCGCCCAAGGAUAACUAUAUAAUUAUUUUUGGUGGGAAGAGAGGAAGUUUCCUGAGAGUUCUCUAGUUGAUCUAAGAAUCAAGAAUUACUUCAAGAUUAUCUAUAUCGGGACAUCAGAGCACUAACCAUAGAAAGAGAUGAGAAGAGGGCUAGGAAGGUCUGACUACGGUCCUACAAACACCGAUCCGAACGAGGUGGAAUACGUCGACCGUUAGGGCUGUCACUACCCUAAGGCUACCAUAACAAUCCGCAGGAUUGGGUGCAAUUCUAGGUAAUUGCAAGACUAAACACCACGUCUAAUCUAUUAAUUACUACUCUAGCGUUAUAAAGACUAGAGCACUUGAUGCAAGCAGGAAUCCAAUAAAUAACUUGAAUGUAAAUAAAAAAGUAAUUAAAGAACUCAGGAUUAUGAAUUGAAGAAUCUGGAGAACGAUGAAGAACGAACCAGUUGCUGCAAAAGUACAAUGUUGAGGAAGAUCCGACAGAUCCGGCUCCUCCUCCUCCGCUCUCCUCUUCUCUCUCCCUAUUUUCUAGAUUACAACUAGAACUAACUAGAACUAGAACUAGAGGAACUAGAACUAGAACUAGAUGAACUAGAACAAGAUCUAGAUGAACUAGAGGUAGAGCUAGAAGAACUAGAGGGAUCCUCUCUACUUGGAUGAAGAAUUAAAACCCUAACUUUGAUUCUAUAGAAGAGGUAUGAUCUCCAGGGGCUAGGGGGUCUGGUUUUAUAGUCCCUUCAAAUGAAUCUGGGCCGUUGAAUCAAACCGACAUUGAUUGAACGGUUAUCCUUGAUCCUUUAGGUCGGUGGAGCAUGAUCCGUGAGUUUGGACGUGAUUGGGCAGAACUCCAGGGCGGGCGCCCUCCGGACUUGGGCGGGCGCCCUGUCCCUGAGCCCUCUCGGCCUCUGCUUCGGUACCAUGGCUUAUGGAGUCUUCUAGAUGAUAGAAAAUUGCGCGGCACAUUAAUAUCUCUAUGUAAACCCGACGUGUGGGCCUUUCCUCCAUAUUUCCUGAUAACCCCCUGCAGAAACAGACAAACACCAAAACUCAUGGAAUUCUCUCAGAUAAAACCCUAAGUCUAGGUGUUGGUUGCAUUUGGAUCCUUUUCUAUGAUUUAUUGAUGGUUAAAUGUGAGCAUUAAGGACCGUCAACAUCCGGCUCCUCCUCCUCCGCUCUCCUCUUCUCUCUCCCUAUUUUCUAGAUUACAACUAGAACUAACUAGAACUAGAACUAGAGGAACUAGAACUAGAACUUGAUGAACUAGAGGGAUCCUCUAUACUUGCAUGAAGAAUUGAAACCCUAGCUUUGAUUCUAUAGAAGAGGUAUGAUCUCCAGGGGCCAGGGGGCCUUGCUUAUAUAGUAUUUUCAGAUGAAUCUGGGCCGUCGGAUCAAACUGACAUUAAUCGCACGGUGUUCCUUGAUCCCUUAGGUCGGUGGAGCACGAUCCACAAAGUUGAUCGUGAUUGGUGGAAAAAGGUGGGCGGGCGCCCUAAGGAGUAGGGCGGGUGCCCUGUCCCUGAGCCCUCUCGGCUUCCCGUUCGUUUCCGUGGCUUCUGGAGUCUUCUAGAUGAUAGAAAAUUGUGCGGCACGUUAAUAUCUCUAUGUAAACCCGACGUGUGGGCCUUUUCUCCAUAUUUCCUGAUAACCCCCUGGAGAAAUAGACAAACACCAAAAUUCGUGGAAUUCUAUCAGAUAAAACCCUAAGUCCGGGUGUUAGCUGCAUUUGGAUCCUUUUCCAUGAUUAGUUGACGGUUAAAUGUGAGCAUUAAGGACCGUCAAUAUAGAUCAUAUGUGGGUGUGGUGCUUAGAUAUUAUUUACCUGCAAAUGUAUCCUAUUGGUCGGGUCGUGUGGUAGUUCGCGAUGGUGACAGCUUCGUUGAUUCUUAUAUAGUCCACCCUCCGUUGAUAGGACAGGCAGAAUUUGUAUUGCAGAGUAAGUCUUGCGAUGUUCUGAUUUACUUUAGCAAUGUUCCUUAUACAUGAAUGAAGAGUCUAUUGUGCUAUAUAUGAUCUUGUAGAUAACUAGAGUGGAUUGUGACUUAGUAGAUAGUAGAUACUCAGAAUCCAUUCUCUAGCUAAUCCGACGUCACCUUAAAUUUAUGAGGAGUAGUCUAUUUCUAAUCGCUGUGUUAUUUACCCAUGAGCUUAUAUUUCAUUAUCUUUAUUAUUAUGGCUUACCCCCUGCCAAAGCAAGUGACUGUGUGACGAGUUCCUCAUUAGUAAUCAUGUUAUUGCAAGUUUAUCUCUAGUCUAUGCCUUGAUAGAUUUUACUUAUGUUUUCAUUUUCUCCGUUCUCUUAAGCAAAAUAUAAAUAACGUUACCCGGAAUACUUUUCCUGGUGAAAUGCUACAAUGAGGUAUUUUAUCUGUGCGCUUGUGGAUAGAAUAUAUUAUUUUCUAGAGAGCCUCCAUAUUCAUAAAUACCUUAGUACACUCUAGUGCCAUGCUGGGGAUGACAACCUAGUAUCCAAGUGGUGUUAGUAAGUGCCAACAGUCUCCUUGGAGGAUCUUACACUAGUACAAAAAAACCUAACCGUGGCGGGCAUUUUUCAUUUACCGUGGCGGUUUUGGCAACCGCCACGGACAUAAGGUCACGGUUAAUCAUGGCUUAACCGAGGCGGUUUUCCAAACCGCCACGGUUAAAGACUUAACCGUGGCGGGCUACAUAAGGCAACCGCCACGGUAAAUGUUCAAUAACCGUGGCGGUUGCCUUACGCAGCCCGCCAUGGUUAAGUUUUUAACCGUGGCGGUUGUCUUAUGUUGCCGGCCUCUAUUAAAGUUUUAAUGGAGGCGGUUGUUUCUAUUUGCCCGACUCUGUUAAUGUUUGUUUGACAUUUAAAAAAAUUAUUAUCAAUUCGGAUUCAAAACCUAUUUCAAAUUCAGAUUUCAAUGUUGCUAAUGUUAUUUUCUAAGCAAAAUUUUGAUAAUGUUAAUAGCAGCAAAUAGAUGACAUAUAUAUAUAUACAUGCAUGUUAAUUUAAAACAACCAAUAUUAGUGAUCACAUCAUUCUUUAUAAACACAUCAUUCACAUCAUUCGUGCAUACAUGGUUCUACAUAUCAUCUAAGGAGGGAAACAAAUAAUCUUUCAUUUGUAACCCUUUUUCCUUGUCGCUCCAGUUUCUGAUUCUCUCAAACUUUGGAUCUAGAGCUAAGUCACCUUCCUUAUUGAAGAAUGUUCGACCUUCAUGUGCGGCCUCGGUGACAAACUUACAUAUAUCUGCUACAGUUUGUCUGAACUGAGGGUCGACCUUCUCCUUUUCCCACCAACCUUGUGCUUUCUUAAGUUGUCGCCAACUACUGCUAUAUCUGCUGCACGUCCUCAGAUACUCACAAACAUAGAAUCCACAUGAAACUGAGCCAUAGGGUUGUUUGGCGCACUGCAGGAUACAACUAGUAGUGAGUAUAGUAUAGUAUUGUAAAAGUAGUAGUAGUGUAGUAGUAGUGGUUGUAGUAGUAGUGUAGUGGUAGUACAUUAUUAGUAUUGCUACUUACCGGGAAAUCACACUUGAUUUUUAGUUUUUUACCAUUCUUGAUCUUUGACUUUUCAGAUCUCCGAUCAUAGCACUCAGGAUCUUCCACGUACUUCUUAUAAGCACUGUACCAAAAAAUACUAGUGUCAACGACAACUUGAAGACAUUUAUAUGUCAACUGUAAAUGAAUAAGAAUAAGCUCUAUCACUUACUAUCUCAAAACGCUUUCAAAGUGCUUGUACCCUGCUUUGUUUGUUCCCUGUAAUGAGUCUAAUAUGCAAGCCCUUCCAUCUUGAGGAUAGAUUAUAAAUGCUAUCCAGUGACCCAUGAUGCCAUGACUACACCAUUCAUCAGAUGAUAUAGAUUUCAAAUGGUCAAAUAUGAGAAGUCAUGGUCUUAGUUACAAUAUAUAUGAUCAAAGUAUCUUUUGUUCUUACCCGAAUUGGUGGGCAGCCAUGAUGCAUCCAUCUCCUCGGACCUUCUUCAUGGCCUCAUAGAUAUACAUUCCCGCCCGAUACCUAUAUUCGAUUAGUAGAUCUUUCCUAUAUUUCACUCUCUCUUUCGCAUUUAAGUUCACCAAGUCUUCAUGAGUAUCGGGUAUAUCGUAACCCGCAAUUGUUCUCUCUGUAAGAAGGAUUGGAGAUAGAUAUAUAAUACCCUUGUUUAACUCUUUGCUUACGUAGGCUUGCAUCCUGCAAGAAGUAAUCAUGGCAUUAUUAGUUUGAGUGUUAAAGUUCCCAUAGCAAUGAUCAGGUUCUAUCAAAGAUGUAAGUAACUUACAAGGCAAAUAUGGUGACUUGGGACACGUCGAGGUCCUUUCGCCGUAGUAGUCUAUGCAUGUCAUGGAAAUCAACAACUACUACACCAUCCGUAGGCAUUUGGAAGUACUCAGCCGGGAUGUUGAUGACAAAGUUGUGUAGGCCCAAUUUUGCGGCUUCCACGUACCACAAAUGGAACCUCCUUACCUCCCACCUCUCUUCAAUGAGGUCACCCAAGGUCAACAUAAACUUCCCAUGCACAUAGUUCUUGGGGCAAUCAUCCGACCUGGGCCAAAAGGACGGAGGUGUUUUCGGCCUACAACACCAAGGCUUGACAUAUUAGGGAGUGGAAAAGGCAGAGAACAUCUUAAAACGAAUUAUAUAUUGAUGAUGCAUGCUACUACCAUACCUUUCAAAUGUAGUUGAGAAUGGGUGCUUGUUGGCUAUUUGAUAGGCCACCCAACUCGACUUGGUAUGGUUCGGUGGUAUGGCCUCAUCUUCAGGCUUCCUCGGAGGAGGAGGAGGACAUUGGUUUGAGCCUUGGUUUGAUCCACUUGUAGGUGGUGGUGUCACUUCGCUCGGUGUUGCCCCUAUUCCUUCCUGUGUAUUGCAGUUGUCAGGAGUCACGCUUCUUUGAGGAGUGUUGCUUGGGCCACCAGCACAUUUUUGGUCAUCACCACCACCUUCGUUGUAAUCACUUGGGCUAGCCGCAGGGGACGAUGAUGGUUGUGAGGCCUGGGACAUCGGCGUCGGCAUUUCCAACAAGAUAUCACUCUUGUUCCAUAGCACGCACCAGCCGAUUGUUCCGCCGAUGAACCUGAUUCCAUCUUCUGUGGGAAUGUCAAGUUCAUCCUCCUCAAACUCUGUGUUCGUCCAUGCCACAACCACCUUAGCAUAGUCAGGUGGGAUGCGCUUGCCGUCAUACGUGGUGUUUUUGUUGGGCGGUAGUACCACACCUUGGGCCACCUCCUUCUUCCUCCCACUCCUACCAAAGGGCAUCUGGAGCGUGCAGAUUGUUUGUUCGGUGAUGUCAUCGGCUGGGUACCUUCGAUGUUGUCCAGGCCCUGGGACAAUCUGCCCUUGUAUGGUGGGUUGACCCGGUAGUGGCAGCACACCAGCCUGUUCAAAUAUCUGCAUCCUCAGCUGCACCAUCUUAGGGUCCGUGCUCGUGAAAGCGUCUUGUAUCUUCCCCAUGAUCAUUUCCUUGACUGCAUCAUCCUUGCCUUUCUGGAUGAGCUCUUCCUUAUACCUCUGCCUCGAGCGGUAAGAGCUACCCUCAGCUUGCCAAGACUCCACAUCCUUCCAACUUUUCCUUGAGGAAAUCCCACGUACGCGGCCGCGGUGCUCGGGGUUUCCUAGUGCCUCAGUUAGGACGUCCCUAUCUCGCCGAGGUUCGAACGAUCCGCUCUUCUCGGCUGCAGUGACCUCAAAGAUCCUCUUCUCCACCUCCUCGAUUUUUGGGUCAUUGUACUUGGUCCUACCCUCCUUUAGUUUUUUUGGCUGUCGUGCUUUUAGGAAGUGACGUGACCUCUCAUCGAUAUCCAUUAAUGGAUUCGACUGCCCAGCCUCAGCUGCCUCCCUUUCUUCCUGCCGCCACAGCUCUACCUUGCCAGCGUAGCCUAUCAUGCCUAGGUGGUGGGCAAGCUCGUUCCUCUUAGUGAGCUCUUUGAACUUCUCGCUCUUGGCCUUUGCAUCUUCGCUUAACAUCUUUGUGACGAACUCUUCCCAAACAUUAGCUAAGAUGCAGUUGUAGUCUUCGAAUGGUGUCCUUCCUUUCUGGACGUAGUCUCGAUUGAGCAUAGAUCUAAAGUUACGAAGUGCUUUGCCUACGAUAAAUAGUGCAUGGCUCUUGCACUUGUCUUCAUCAUAACCUUGCACUGGAUACGUGAACCGCCUCUUCACCUCUCCCCACACUGUAUUCUUGAUGUCUAUGGGGACUUUCCUCCAAUCACUAUAUGUGAUAGGCACCUUCUCCCUAACUAUACAUGAACACUGGUUGUUGAAGGUGCCGAUGAUGGUUUUUGGCGCCAAGGGCUCUCCUUUUGGCCCUAUAUGGUGUAUCGCAAACACUUUUUUCUUGCUAACCUGGUGCCUCCCGUGUUGUCCCCUCUUCAAGUUGGACCUGUCCUUGGUACUAGUUGAUGAAGUGCCCGUGGAGGUAGUGGGUGCUUUGUCCCUAUUUGGUGUAUCCGCAACUUGUUCAUCUCCUUCAUUGGGGUAAUCCAAGGAACGAGGCACGAUUGAUGCCUUUCAAGGAGAAGACCUUGCAUUAGUUACAUACUUAAAUGAGAGGCCCCCGUACGUGUCAAUUAACAAUGGGUGCAUUAUAAACUUACAUCGAGCCUUUGUGAUAUAGAAUCAUCUACCGAUGCAACAUGUGUCUCCGUGCGAGGAGCUCGUUUCUCGACCGUCGGAUCAAAGUCUGGAUCAUCAUCAUCCUCUCCACGAGGUCUCUUUUGUGGCCUCGGUGUUAGUUGCUCGCUCUCGUAAGACGAGGUGUCUGAUGAUGAGCUAUUAUCAUCGCUCUCAUUAGGAGUAGGCUCACGCCAAUUUUGAAGUGCCUCCUCCGUCGACAUUGGUAGCUAUGAAGAAGAUAUAGUUAUAUGGAACAUUCAUAGUAAUAUAAACACGAACAAUGCCAACUUCAUCUCAGAAUAUGUAAAAGAAUCAUUAAAAGUAUAUAUUCAUUUGACAACAAGUAUACAUCUUUUUUUCAUAUACAUUCAUUGUUUGUAUACAAAAAGUGCAGAAAAGUACAAAAGUGAAAAAGAAAAUUACAUAGUUAUAAUAGAAAAAAGUACAAAAAUUAGAAAUUGGAGCAAAAUGGUGUACAUAGUUGGCUCAGAUUCGCCCCAUUGUCAUCAUGCUUCUAAACUGGUUGCUUGAAUACAAGCCAUCCUAGAUUAGGAGCUUAUUUCCAUUAAUAAGGAGGCAUGUGAUCAUCAUAGCCGCUGCCUCAGUACAAAAAGAUUCACAUCAUAACAAAUGCCACUGCCUCAGCAUAUUUUUAAACUUUUCAACAAUUCAUCAUUGCACAUGCCACAAAUUAAGCUCAAAUUGAAUCAAAGCAUAUUACAUGAAACUUAACCAUGGUGGGCAGGGUAGUAGAGAAUAACAGUAGUAGAGAGUAGAAUAUAGAGUAGUAGAGAAGGUGAUAGUAAUAGUUCAUGGGCAGUGGCAUCCCAACUCAUCUCAAAUUGGCCAAACUUCAUCCAAAUUCAUAAAAAAUUCAUCCCAACUCAUUUCAAAUUGACCCCAAUUUAUCCAAAUGUUGGCACAGUGCUCAGUUAACUAUGUAAUUGGCAUCAUAGGCAGUGGCAUUGCAAUGUUAGUUAAAAAUAUACAAACAUCACUGGCAGCAAUUCAUCAAAUUGGCAUCACAGGCAACACUUAAUAAAAAAGACAGUACAGGUCAAACGUCAUAAGCACCAGGGAGCCACGGAGAUCGAACAUCAAAACCAGUGUACCAGGCACCAUGGGGCCGGGGAAGAAGAGGGAGCCGGUGGAGACGUCGGGGAAGACGAAGCCGAGGGAAAAGUCGACGCUGGGGGAAGGAGGGAGCCGGUUGAGACGUCGGGGAAGACGAAGCGAGGGAGAUCUAGGGUUUUAAUUAAUCCACAUCGUCUCUGUCGCUGGUUCGCCCGCUGUUGAUAUUUGGGAACGCAAUAAGGAAUUGAUCCGCAAGCGCACGGAUAUCGGUGAGCACUUCACCCGAGAAAUUAUCCAGAGUAUCGUAUUUAUUUUUUUACCACUAGGAGAAAGAGUGCAUCUGACUAACCGGUCUAUUACUACUAACCUUUAGGCACAAAGAAUGUCUUUCGAUGUGAGUGAUAAAUAGAGAAGACUGCAACCGUAGUCUCCUUCUAACCUUGGUAAGGAUGAUCUACUGUUCUAAUGGGGAGGCUAACGGAAUCUAGACAACAGGAUGUUCGACCCGCACCUAUAAACCCUAUCCUUCCUGCUAACGAGAUGUGAUCUACAAAGGUAGCUCGGAAAUGUCACGUUCCUCACUACUACCACGGUCCAGCUAGUCAGGGAAUAUCUAUGAGUACCCCAGCCUAAACACCACGUUUACGCCAGCAAUGAUUACUCUAAACUCUACGCGAAGAGAUUAAAGUAAACUCAUAAACCAUAAGAACAAUAAAACAAGAACUUACUAGAAUUUAGAAGUCGAAUUACUGAAGAAUCCUAGGAGCAAGCUUCGGGUUAGGAGAACUCGAUCCCGCAGGUACAAGCUUGGAGUAGACACCGACAGGCCGGGCUUCCUCCACUCUUCACCUCCACUCUAUCUCUCUCAAUCUUGUAGAAACUAGAAGAUCUAUUUCUACCUUACAUUGGUUGCUAAGCCUAAAAAGAAAUAUUAAUUAGAGAAGAGGUUUUCCUUCGAGGGCACCCCUCAGUCUCUAUGAUAAUUUCUUCAUGUCUUCUCUAGGGGCCAGGGGGGCCUUGCUUAUAUAAUCCUCCCCUUCUAUGCGUUUUUGGGUCGAUAGGCGAGGUGGUACUAUGUUUUUCUUGAUCCAAUAGGUCGGUGGAAUAUCCCGAACGAAGAGAGUCCCGAAAGCAAUCUAGCAGGGGGCGGGCGCCCAGGCUACCAGGGCGGGCGCCCUGGGCCUGGCCCAGUUUCGCCUCCGCUUCGGUCUCGCGGCUUCUGGAGUCUUCUAGAUGAUGUAAAAUUACGCGGUGCGUUGAUAUCUCUAUGUAAUCCCGACAUGUGGGCCUUUCUUCCUUAUUUCCUGAUAACCCCCUACAGAAACAGAUAAACAACAAAACUCGUGGAAUUCUGUCAGAUCAAACCCUAAUUCUAGGUGUUGGUUGCAUAUUGGUCCUUUCUCUUGUUUCUUUGAUAAUUAAAAUUGAUACUUAAGAACCGUCAACAAAUACCCCCAUACUUAGGCUUUUACUCGUCCUCAACAAAAGGAUGGUUAAGAAUAAUAUCUGGGGUAAACAUUUUAAAGCAUUCUCUAUAUAAUUGCAGGGUGUUAAAAUCCACUGUGUACCAUAGUCAGGAAAGUUUAUGAUUAAGAGUAAAGAUCCUUUCUUCUCAAUCCUGUCACUUGGAGCUUUUGUAUAUUUUUGAAAGAAAGUUAGCAUACCUUUUUAUCCUCAUAGGUUCUUCUCAGAUCACUCAUUAUCUUUUAUAUAUAUCUCACUGAGGUUGUUUUAAUUUGCAAAAAUUCUCAAGCAUACUUACUUUGCAUUUAUUGCCUGCUCAAAACGGGAUCCGAGGAGGGGAAUGUCAUACUCUUAGCUCAAAGACUUUGGAAAUUAAAAACUUUGUCAUCUCUUGCUGGCAUAUUGCUUAUUAGAGGGACCAUGGGCUAUCAUUUUUUUCUCUUUUUCUCUUCUUUUUUUAAGUGGAUACCGAGGUACCCCUAAUUCUACUGCCGGACACUUGUCCAUUUUUUUUCUGCGAGGUUGUCGAGCACUUGCUCCUUUUUAUUUCCUCGAAAUAUCUCUAUUUUUUUUCAUAGCCCAUGCCUCUAAUGCAAUAAUACUUUGGAAGAGUGAAUCUUACUGAAAUAAUAUCUUGAUCUUAGGAGCAUGAUAAAUCUCUCAACAAGGGUCUAACUCAUUUUGAACAAACUCAAUACAGAGCAGAUAGCUUUUUACAAUCAUAUUUAAUAUUUUCUGUUUUAUCAGGCAUAUAAAACAUUGAGGAUGGUAGCUAGAAUUUUGAAUAUUUUGAAAUAAAUUCUCCAAGCAACAAUGAUAUCAAAAAUAAGAAACUCAUACUCUACCAUCACAUAUUCCAUAUUGACUUAAGUAACACAGGGUUUUAAAAUGAUUUUAUAAUAAUUGCAAAUUUUCAGGAAAUAUCAUAGAUUGAGAUUAAUCAUGAUUAGAAAUAUUUUAAUCUUUUUUAUUUUAUCAUGUCGGAAACAAUAAUCUGCAUAAUCCAAAAUAUAUAUAUGUGUAAAGUAAAGUGUGCAGAGUGUGUACCUGAGUGGUGGAGUGGUGUAUUUGGCAUGUCAAGGGAUCUCCCCCAUACUUGUUUUCUGCUUUCUUACGAAAAUAAAGUAGAGACACACAAGACAUAAUAAUAAUAAUAAUAAUAAUAAUAAUACUCUUUAUUAAUCUUGAGGAAUUUAUUACAAAAGACUAGUAGCAGACUGAUGAUAAUAGUAAACUGAUGAUAAUAGCAAACCUAAACCGAAUUUAAAGAUAACUAAGAUGCAUUGCCUCAAGGUCUAAUCUAGAUAACUUAACGGCGCUCUAAUUCCUUAAUCUUCUUGUUGGCACUGGCAAGAUCCUGCCUAAGGCCUAGUAUAAUGGUGUUGUGGUUAGAGAGCUGCCUAGUGAGGGAAUUAAUCGAGGACUGGAGGUCUAUGAUAACUCUAUCUAGCCUGCGAACUUCCUCAUCAAUAUCCAUUAUAGUCUUGCGACGCUUGGGAGGUGUCUCAAAAGCAUUGAGAGCGUGCUUUGGGGCUGCCUUUAGAGGGAUGAAACGGACUUUAGCUGCUCUAAUCCCUUCAAAGUAAGGUCUUUCCUCCUCUGUAGUGUAGCGAAUACUGCUGAUCUCGCCGCUUCGGUUGGUCUUGACUCCAAUGACCCUCUCAUUGGGUCUAGGUGGAAGGAUCCUCAUGCCGAUUGGCACCUUGAUAGUGGUCUUCGUCUUGGAUGAUGAUCCUUUGAGGAGUAGGGGUUGUGGCGGUGCGGUGAGAACUGGUUGAGCAUGGUAAGAUUGGGCGGAGCUGCGUUGGCGUAAUGGCAUGGCUUCUAGCUGACGCUCUGUGUUGGCUGGGACGAGAGCACGGGCAUCGGGGUCUUCCACAGGCUCCAUGUUGAGGUUGAAGGGGACGACUUCCCAAUCAUCGUGGUACUUCUCGGCCAUUGGAGCAGCAAGGAACUAAUAAAAUUUUAAUUGAAGUAGAGCUAAUCAAGCUCUAAUUGAAGGAGAGAAAGCUUGGUGGCGUGGUGUUUGAAAACUGAGGUCAGGGGUCUGUUUAUAUAGGGGUCAAAAGGAUGCCUCUAUGGGUUGUUCGGGUUGCUCCCGUCGAUGUGCGUACGAAACUUUCCAUCCGAGGGAUUAUUCGGAUCACCCUAAGUGCAUUUUCCAUAACAGAGAAAGUCGGGACCGAGGGGGAGCAGGGGCUGGGCGCCCGCCCACUUGACCUGGGCGCCCGCCCUCUCUCUGGCCCCUCUGUGGGCCCACUUCUCCGAGCGCGUUUCUAGAUGCGAAAUUAUUUAGAAAAAUAUAUAUAUGACCCAAAACCAUCAGACCAAAAGUGUCGGACUCUAAUUCUCCAUGGGAAGGUAAAAUGGACUACGUCUAUUUCUUCAAAUUCCUCAUUGGGCUCUAAAAAUAAUUUAAGACGUUGACCAUUUACCUUGAAUAAUGUACCUUCGCUAUUUUGAAGUGUGAUAGCUCCGUGGGAUGAUGAGUUGAUUACCUUGAAUGGCCCUUCCCAUUUGCUCCGGAGUUUUCCAUGCCCGAAAAGCUUUACCCUGGAAUUAAAAAGUAAUACCUUAUCUCCGGGUGUGAACUCCUUCUUCUUGAUUCUCUUGUCAUGCCACCUUUUGACUCUUUCUUUGUAGAUCUUUGAAUUGUGAUAUGCCUUCUCUCGCCAUUCUUCCAAUUCUGAUAGUUGCAUUCUUCUAUAAUCUCCAGCAACAUCUAGGUCCAUAUUCCAUCUCUUUAUGGCCCAGUAUGCUUUGAACUCUAGUUCAACAGGUAGAUGGCAAGUCUUCCCAUACACCAAUUGGUAUGGAGACAUUCCAAUUGGGGUCUUGUAUGCUGUCUGGUAUGCCCAGAGUGCAUCGGGUAACUUGUCUUUCCAUGCCGUUCCCAUUUCAUUUACUGUCUUCUGAAGAAUAUUCUUGAUUUGUUUGUUGGAAGUCUCUGCUUGGCCACUUGUCUGAGGAUGAUAGGGGGUAGCAACGUUGUGACGGAUUCCAUGUCUUGAUAGGUAUUGCUUGAAGCGUUUGUCAAUGAAGUGUGCUCCUCCAUCACUUAUCACUACUCUGGGGACUCCAAAUCUUGGAAAUAUAAUUUCUUCAAACAUCCUCUUUGAACUGACGUUGUCGGCAUGCUUGCAAGGUAAUGCUUCUACCCACUUGGAGACAUAGUCAACUGCCACCAAGAUGUACUCACACUUCUUUGAUGGAGGAAAUGGACCCAUGUAGUCCAUUCCCCAGACAUCAAAGAGCUCAAUCUGAAGGUUGUUGGUGAGUGGCAUUGCAUCCCUUAUGUUUCCGUGCCUUUGACAUGGCCCACAUCUUCUGAUAUAUUGCUUCGUGUCCUCAUACAUUGUAGGCCAAUAGAAUCCACACUGCCAGAUCUUUGAAUGUGUACGGAAUGCUCCAUAAUGACCUCCAUAUGGUGAUGAAUGACAUCUGUCGAUGAUCUUCCAUCCUUCCUCAGUGGUCACACAUCUCCUGAGUAAGCCAUCAGAGCAUACUCGGAAGAGGUAUGGCUCAUCCCAUAUAUGUGAACGACUUUCUUGAAUAAGCUUCUUCUUGUUUGCUCCUGGUGGUACAUACCCUGAAACCAUAAAAUUAACAAUAUCUGCAUACCAGGGGUCAGACCUGUUAAUCCCGUAGAGCAUGUCGUCCUGGAGUGAAUCAUUGAUGGGGGUUUCCUGUGGACUCUUAAAAUACAUUCUAGACAAGUGAUCAGCAACAGAAUUUUCUACUCCCUUUUUAUCUUUUAUUUCUAAGUCAAAUUCUUGGAGUAAUAAAAUCCAUCUAAUCAGGCGAGGUUUAGCAUCUUUUUUAGUGAGCAAAUAUUUUAAUGCAGCAUGAUCAGUGUAAACAAUUAUUUUAGCUCCAACUAAAUAAGAUCUAAAUUUAUCAAUGGCAAAGACAACAGCCAGAAGCUCUUUUUCAGUGGUUGCGUAAUUAAGUUGAGCUCCUGUCAAACUUUUACUGGCACAAGCAAUUGCAUGAUGCUUCUUAUCUUUAGUUUGUCCCAAUACUGCCCCCACAGCAUAAUCACUAGCAUCACACAUAAUUUCAAAAGGCAACGACCAAUCAGGGGGUUGAAUGAUUGGUGCAGAGAUGAGUGCUUUCUUUAAUAAAUUGAAAGAUGUUAGACAUGCAUCAUCAAAUUCGAAAGGAGCAUCCUUGGCUAGCAAAAGAGUAAGUGGUCUAGCAAUAAAUGAAAAAUCUUUUAUGAAUCUACGAUAAAAACCAGCAUGGCCAAGAAAGCUUCGAAUUCCUUUUAUGUUCACAGGUGGAGGUAGUUGUUCAAUUACUUCAAUUUUAGAUUUGUCUACCUCAAUCCCUCUUUGAGACACUAAGUGUCCUAGCACUAUUCCUUCCCUAACCAUAAAAUGACAUUUUUCCCAAUUAAGGAUUAAGUGCUUUUCUUCACAUCUUUGCAAAACCUUGUCUAAGUUUUCAAGACAACUAUCAAAAGUUUUUCCAUAAACAGAGAAAUCAUCCAUGAAAACUUCCAUAAUCUCUUCAAUCAUAUCAGAAAAUAUAGACAUCAUGCAUCUUUGAAAAGAAGCUGGUGCAUUACAUAACCCAAAAGACAUUCUACGGUAAGCAUAAGUUCCAUAUGGGCAUGUAAAAGUGGUUUUGCUUUGAUCAUCGGGAUGGAUCGGGAUUUGGUGAUAUCCUGAGUAUCCAUCUAAGAAACAGAAAAACGAAUGGUUUGCUAACCGCUCUAGCAUUUCAUCUAUGCAAGGUAAAGGAAAGUGGUCUUUUCUCGUGGCUUUGUUUAAUUUUCUAUAGUCUAUGAACAUCCGCCAUCCUGUGACAGUGCGUUGCGGAAUUAGCUCGUUCUUUUCAUUCAUAAUAACUGUCAUGCCUCCCUUUUUGGGCACAACUUGCACUGGGCUCACCCACUCACUGUGCGGCACAAGAUAUAUAAUCCCUGCAUGCAGCAACUUUAUAACUUCCUUUUUAACUACCUCUCUCAUAGUGUUGUUAAGUCUACGUUGGGGUUCUCGAGAGGGUGUAACAGAAGGAUCUGUUGGAAUACGAUGGGUACAAAUCAUAGGACUGAUUCCUGUAAGAUCUUGAAGUGAGUAGCCAAAAACCGAGUGAUGUUUCUCAAGAAUGGUCAUUAAUCGCAGAGUUUGAUCCUGAGUGAGUUUAUCGCUAAUGAUCACAGGGAACUCUGGAUUAUUGUUUAGGAAAGCAUAGGUAAGACCGGGUGGUAAACUUUUAAGCUCUAUGGGGGGUCUAGGUGUUUCUGCAAACUCAUCUAAGGGUUCAGGCUCAGAAGGUUCGUCUUCUUCUUCUGUGAAGAAAGGAGUUUCAUCUUCUAAGUCUAGUUCAUCAAAAAGCUCUAGAGAUGCAGCCUUUACUUCCUCCAUAGGAUCAGGCAAAAGAUAUGACUCGGCCUUAUUGUUUAAGGAGUGUGAAAUUAUCAGUAUGACCUUCAUAAAGGAGUCGUCUAAAAGGUUGUCCUAUCAACAGGUCGAAGUCCCAUGUAUCAAAGAUAUAGAAGUUCAAAUGAACCAUGGAGCCUUCUACUGUAAGAGGUAGGACAUUAAUAAUUCCAAGACUGGGGACUAAUCGUCCCGAAGAUUCCUUUAUGACCUUUGUUGUGGGGGUUAAGAUAAGAUUUUUAAAUAGUUUAAGUGCAAAGGAUUCAGACAUAAUGUUGAUCCCCACAACAGGAUUAUAAAGAGCAUUAAAUCGCUCAGAAUUAUAAGCACAACGUAUAGUUCUAGAGGGUGUGUCCAAACGGAUCACAUCAGAGGAAAGCUCUGAUUCCUCCAACCACUCGCUACUCAUGACUGAGAUAAGCUCUCUCAAUUGAUAUUCACUUGGUAAAUAAAUGCUAGACUGGCCAUUUUGGGGUUUGUCAAUAGAAUGGUAGUUUGAAAUAUUUCCAAAAUCGGCAAAAAUAUCGGAUUCUAUAUCCAGCAUGAAGUCCGGUGGUGGAAUUUCUUCCUCUUGUGGCUCCGAACUUGGGAUAGCUAAAGUAGAUGAAGAAUUUGGUAGAGUGUCUACUUCGGCUUCGUAGGUUUCAUCAUGAAGGGUAUUAUCCAUCUCAGCUUCUAGGAUUCUAUCUAGGAUCACUCUAGCUUCAUCAGCAGGGAUGCGAAAGAAAGAACCUCUAGACAUUGUGUGUAGCAUUUGUUUGUGAUUUUUAUGAAGACCUCAAAAAAAGUGAAAUAAAAGAACAGGGUCUUCAAGAUUAAGGUUUGGACCAGAUUCUAAAAGAUCAGAAAAACGUUUCCAGGAUUUUCCCAAAGUUUUAUUAUCUUUUUGUUUAAAAGAUAGGACUUCGAGUCUAAGGUCGGCUAUACGGUCAAGGGAAUAGAAAUCUAGACAAAAGUUGGCUCGUAAAACUCCCCAUUCACCUUGUUGUUGACUUACCUUCUGACUGUACCAUUGUCUAGCUUCUCCCCUCAAAGAAAAAGGAAAAAUCUUCCAACGUAAAGUUUUAUCAGAAAUGCCUUCAAUGCGAAGACAAUCACAUGUUUGCUCAAAAUCUCUAAUAUGAAGGUAAGGGUUUUCGUCUUCCUUUCCCGAAAAAGAUAGGUUUUGAAUCAUGGCAAUCAACCUAGAACUUAACUUAUACUGGGAUGUUUGGAUAGGCUGUGAUGACUCCCAUGGUAAAAGGUCAGUUGCUAAAGGGAUUGCAGACUCAUGGAUCGAUUUAGAAUUUUGGUUUUCCAUAAGGUAAGAAUAAAGAAAAUAAAUAAAGGAUAUAUAAGAAAAGAUAAAAGUAUAGAUACAAGCUAAUAGCAAGACACAGGUUAUCUCAGCAACCGUCUUUCUCCCCGGCAACGGCGCCAGAAAUGCUUGUUGAUAUUUGGGAACGCAAUAAGGAAUUGAUCCGCAAGCGCACGGAUAUCGGUGAGCACUUCACCCGGGAAAUUAUCCAGAGUAUCGUAUUUAUUUUUUUACCACUAGGAGAAAGAGUGCAUCUGACUAACCGGUCUAUUACUACUAACCUUUAGGCACAAAGAAUGUCUUUUGAUGUGAGUGAUAAAUAGAGAAGACUGCAACCGUAGUCUCCUUCUAACCUUGGUAAGGAUGAUCUACUGUUCUAAUGGGGAGGCUAUCAGAAUCUAGACAACACACAGGAUGUUCGACCCGCACCUAUAAACCCUAUCCUUCCUGCUAACGAGAUGUGAUCUACAAAGGUAGCUCAGAAAUGUCACGUUCCUCACUACUACCACGGUCCAGCUAGUCAAGGAAUAUCUAUGAGUACCCCAGCCUAAACACCACGUUUACGCCAGCAAUGAUUACUCUAAACUCUACGCGAAGAGAUUAAAGUAAACUCAUAAACCAUAAGAACAAUAAAACAAGAACUUACUAGAACUUAGAAGUCGAAUUACUGAAGAAUCCUAGGAGCAAGCUUCGGGUUAGGAGAACUUGAUCCCGCAGGUACAAGCUUGGAGUAGACACCGACAGGCCGGGCUUCCUCCACUCUUCACCUCCACUCUAUCUCUCUCAAUCUAGUAGAAACUAGAAGAUCUAUUUCUACCUUACAUUGGUUGCUAAGCCUAAAAAGAAAUAUUAAUUAGAGAAGAGGUUUUCCUUCGAGGGCACCCCACAGUCUCUAUGAUAAUUUCUUCAUGUCUUCUCCAGGGGCAGGGGGGCCUUGCUUAUAUAGUCCUCCCCUUCUAUGCGUUUUUGGGUCGAUACGCAAGGUGGUACUAUGUUUUUCUUGAUCCAAUAGGUCGGUGGAAUAUCCCGAACGAAGAGAGUCCCGAAAGCAAUCCAGCAGGGGGCGGGCGCCCAGGCUACCAGGGCGGGCGCCCUGGGCCUGGCCCAGUUUCGCCUCCGCUUCGGUCUCGUGGCUUCUGGAGUCUUCUAGAUGAUGUAAAAUUACGCGGUGCGUUGAUAUCUCUAUGUAAUCCCGACAUGUGGGCCUUUCUUCCUUAUUUCCUGAUAACCCCCUGCAGAAACAGAUAAACAACAAAACUCGUGGAAUUCUGUCAGAUCAAACCCUAAUUCUAGGUGUUGGUUGCAUAUUGGUCCUUUCUCUUGUUUAUUUGAUAAUUAAAAUUGAUACUUAAGAACCGUCAACACCCGCCACCUCCUCUGUUCUCUCCCAACGGUGAACGGACCAAGGCCAAACCCUAGCGACUGCGAGCGAGAUUCCGGCGGGCGACAACCGAGGCGAGUUUCUAAGUCAACUCGAUUCGAUUCGCCAGCCACCACGCUCCGGUUGGGGAAGAAGACCGAGCCGCCGAGCACACGAGGAAGAAGCGCGGAGGAGGCGCCUGACGGCGGUGGUACGAGCGGAGGAGGCGCUUGACGGCGGUGGCGGCGGUGGCGGCAAAUUUGAGCAGCCCUUCGGGGUCAAAGUAAGACAGCCGAAGACCUAGCACUCGCAGGGGACGAGGCCAGGCUUAUAUAGGGGAAGAUUAACCGUGGCGGGCAGAUAAGAGUGACCGCCACGGUUAAUAUUAACCGUGGCGGGCGUUUUACAAUGACCGCCAUGGUAAAUGCAUUAACCGUGGCGGUUAUUUUAUGAUGCCUGCCACAGUAAAUAAUUUAUGUAAAUUAUAAAAUAAUUAAAUCAUUUGUAAAGUAUCUCUAAUGAUAUAAUAGGUCUUAACAAAAUAUAUAAUAUUUAUGUACAAAUUUUGAGUAAGACGGAUGAUCAAAUAAGAUGUGUGAAAUUCUAAAAUGACAUUCUUUUUGGGACGGAGGGAGUAGGUAGUAAGAGUAGUUAGGAGUAGUAGUAACUAGUAGGAUAUUAGUAGUAGUAGCAGUAGUACAUUACAAUAUAUGUGGUUCCAUUACAAUAAUAGAUAGUUACAUAAGUUCUUGUUCGUUAAUAUCAUUUUGUUACAAGUGAUCCUACGACGGUCUUCCUCUCACCAUCAGGGCAAAACCACGGCAUAAUCUUACUCUUAUUGCAGCGGGCCUCGAUGAACUUUAUCUUCCGUGGAUGGUCGGUAAAGAGCGAUAGCUCAGCAUAGUUGAUGUAUUCUUCGGGGCUUUGGACUCCAUCUGCUCCCACAAUCCGCUGCUUCCCGGACACAACCACAUGUUUUUUGCUGUCUUUGGGCUUCGGAAAGUAGGCAACUUGCGCACAACGGCUUGCUAGCACCCACUGAUCAUCUUUAUAGCCGACACUUUGGAGCUCCACAUUGGUUAGCCCAUAUUCAUCGACAAGAACCCCUUUUGGUUUGACGCACUGGCACCGAAAGACAGCUAACUGUAGUUCACCACCGUAGUCAAGUUCCCAUAUGUCUUCAAUCUGCCCAAAGUAUGUCCUGGUCAGCCCUGUUGAGUCGUCAAUGCCCUCAUAUCAAACCCCACUAUUCUGUGCCGCGCUCUUCUUGUCCUUCUCCUUUGUGUGGAAUCUGUAUCCAUUGAUGUCAUACCCUUGCCAUGUGGUGAUUUGUGUUGAUGGGCCAGAUGCAAGCCUUGCUUCAUCAGAGUCCCCGUGGGGUAUGUCCUAUAGCUCUUUGAUCGACACUGUGAAAUUUGCCUUGUGUUGCUUUUGGACCCAUGCCUCCGUGCGUUGUCCAUCACAAGUGGCACGGAUCUCCUCCAGAUGCUUAUCAACAAAUGGUUCCAUAACCACUAGUUGAUUGAGGACAUUGUGAUGAGCUUCUUUCACCAUUUCGUACUUGAAAUCGGUGCGUACUUUCCUCCCUGUGCAACCAAUUCCUAUUGUUCUGCCUUCAUGCUGAGGGACAGGUAGGCCAAUAGCCCUUCCGUCCUGGAUAUACUUCGUGCAACAGUUAACAGCCUCCUCGGUUGUGUAUGCCUCGACCAUAGAGCCCUCUGGGUAGGCAUGGUUAAGGACGUAUCUGUUGAGGGUUGACAUGAACCGCUCAUACGUCCACAUCUGGUGCAGGUACACGGGGCCUAGCUCUUGUAUCUGAUCAACCAUGUGCAUCAUCAGGUGUGUCAUAAUAUCAAAGAAAGAUGGUGGGAAGCACAUCUCGAGCUGGCAAAGAGUCUAUGUGAUGAACUGUUUUAGGUCAGGCAGCUCAGCUUCAUCGAUCACCUUUUGUGUGAUGAAGUUAAAGAAGUAACCAAGGCGUGUGAUGACCAUCUUCACAUACUCUAGACUGAUAGCCCUGAUCACAAUGGGAAGGAACACUGUGAGCAUGACAUGACAGUCAUGUGCAUUGAAGCUAGUUAGUGUAAGGUCUUUCAUGGAGACCAAGCUCUUGAUGUUUGAAGAGAAACCAGUCGGCACCUUGACACUCCUAAGCCAUUGGCACACAGCCCUCUUCUCAUCUUUCGUGAGGUUGUAGCUUGCGCCUGGAAUAUCAACUUUGCCACUCUGUGGUGACUGUGUUGGGUGAAUUUCAGUCCUGAUGUUCUGGUUCACAAGAUCCAUUCGUGAUUUUAGACCAUCCUUUGUCUUAGUCUUGAUGUCCAACAGAGUGCCAAUGGUGCUUUCGAAGACAUUCUUCUCCAGGUGCAUGCAGUCGAUUGCAUGAGGCGUGUCUAGCUCCUUCCAAUACGGAAGGUACUUGAAGAAACAUGACUGCUUCUUGAAAAGGAUUGGGGCGACAGGUGGUUCACCCUCUAACUUAUCGCGUUUCCUCUUCUUCCUUGAUGUGGUACCGGCUUCCUCUUUCUUCUUCUUCCCGAAAUCAUUAUCUAUACCUUUCACCAUUUCAAACACCUUUUGCCCAAACUUUGUUCUUUCUGCCUUGUCAAGUUCAGGCUCGUCGUUGUUGUCAAAGUACUUAUUCAUUGUACUUGCCCGGUACCUAUGGUUCUUGGAUAGGAAUCGCCUAUGCCUCAUGUACACUAACUUCUUGGAUGAUUUAAGAUAAGUGUAGCAGGUACCAUCAAUGCAAACUACACAACCUGACUUACCCUUGAUCUGCCCUGAUAGGGAAAGAAGAGCUGGGUAAUCGUUGAUGGUCACAAAAAUAAUAGCUUUUAGGGUGAACUUCUUCUUUUCUGAAGCAUCCAUCAUGGUGACCCCAGUUUCCCAUAGUAUCUUCAUGUCCUCCAUGAGUGGCUCGAGGAACACAUCUAUAUCAUUGCCUGGCUGCUUUGGUCCAGAAAUAAUACAGGUUAGUAAAAGAUAUCUAUGCUUUUGACAUAUCUAGGGAGGUAGGUUGUAUAUGGUGAGGAUGACUGGCCAAGUGCUGUGUGAGCUGCUAAGGUCACCGAAUGGGUUCAUCCCAUCGGUACUAAGUGCGAACCUAACGUUCCUUGCCUCAUUACCAAAUUCCUUUUGAAACUUAGCAUCAAAAUGCUUCCAUUGUUUGCCAUCGGCGGGGUGCCGCAGCUUGCCAUCACCCUUUGUGCGCUCAUCAGAUGCAUGCCACGACAUCAGCUUAGCAUCCUCAGGAUUCCCAAAUAUAGCAAGUAGGCGAUCAAUCACGGGUAGAUACCACAUCGUCAAAGCUGGAAUCUUCCUCUGCAUGUAACCCUCUUCUUCCUCAUCCUCCGGCGAUGGGAUCGGCUUCUUCCCAGUAGACUUUUUCUUCUUCAGCGCUCUCUCGUUGUCCGCCUCCGUGCGACAACCGGCAUUCCUUUUGUACCGACUCGCGCCACAGUGCGGACAACUCUGCAAUUUCUCAUACUUGCCUCGAUAGAGGAUACAAUGGUUAGGACAAGCAUGAAACUUUUUAAGCUUCAUCGCCACUGGCCGGAUGAGCUUCUUCGCCCGAUAGGUGUUGGGGGGCACCUUGUUUCCCUCUGGGUAUGUGUCAGCAAGGAUACGUAAUAGUUCGUUAAAGCUACUGUCCGACCACCCAUGACGAGCCUUUACCAUUAGCAUUUGGAGGUUAAAACUUAGUGCUGUCCAGUGCUUCGGACAGUCCUUAUAGAGGGGAUCAAUGGCUGCCUGCUUCAUCUCUCUAAAAUUCUCCAACCACCUUGGGCUCCCAAAUAAAAUGUCAUCUUCAUCAUGACGAUUAGCAAUUGACAAACAGCUCCACAGUCUCAGGAUCCCUCACUGGCUCAUCACUAUCAUCGUAUCCUUCAUCGCCGUCAGCCAUGUCUUGGAGCAGAUCAGCAAUCGUGAUGUAGUCAUGCUCGGUAGUAGCACUACCAUGUUCGUCGUCCGCUACUGAUGAGGUAUGUGGUUCGGUAUUCACCACCGCCUCAUCUUCUAUUUCCCCAUGAAACUUCCAAACAGUGUAAUCAUUGACAAAACCGUAUCGGACCAAAUGAGAUUUCACCGUGUCAUCUCCAUGGGCAUAAAGGUUCUUGCAAGUCUUACAUGGACAGAUGGUGAGUUCUCGCUUGAGACUAAGACGAUGACUUUUGGUGGUGGAAAUAAACUUUGUCAAAUGUUCAAUGUAAGCUGGAUCCAAUCUUGACAUCUUAUACAUCCAUUCCCUGUCCAUGACUCUUGCUCCCUUGCAAAGACAACAAGAAUAACACAUGUAAGCAUACUAAUCUAGAAAAUAAACAACUCAAAAUAGAUCUAGAUCUAGAUUUAAAGAAAAAGGUUCCAAAUCAAAGAAAAGAGAGAGGAUCGAGCAAGAGAACAUAAAUCUACCUCUUGUUGUGUCCUCCUUCACUAAAUAUAAGGGCAAAAUCUUCCCCUCUAGAAAAUGGCCAUUUUUAGGGAUUUGAGGUCAAAACCCUAAAAAUGGAGGAGCAGCCGCGGGGAAAAAGGUGGUUGCGGCUGUAUUUAUAGCCCGUACUUAACCGAGGCGGGCAUUGUAAGCCACCCGCCACGAUUAAUUAGCUAUUAACCACGGCGGGCACUAAAAGGAACCGCCAUGGUUAAUAUAUAUUAACGGUGGCGGUUUUCUAACAAUGCCCGCCACGGUUAAUAUAUAUUAACUGUGGCGGUUUUCUAACAUUGCCCGUCACGGUUAAUUAUUAACCGUGGCGGUUGUCUUCCGGCCUGGCCGGCCUGAACCGGCAGUGAAUAACCGUGGCGGGCGAAACCAACGCCCGCCUCGGAGGGCUUAUGUGAAACGUCGUGCAAAAUAAAUUUUGUAGUAGUGUUAGAGCUUCUUGGUAUGAAUACAAUUCAGUUCUCCUCCAUGAGCAAGUUCUUAUCUUAUUUAUAUGAUUAUGCAAUUGAAUUAGAGUAUAGUUGUGUUCGUAUCUUGUUCAUAGUAUAUGAACUAGUUCUUAGUUCUUGUGCUAUGUUCUUGAUGUGUUCAUCCUUAUUCUUCAUUGUUCAUCGAAUUAGUAUGAAUAGACAAAGGAUUAAGAUUGGGGUAAUGGUUCGAUGGGCUGUGAUGGCCACUCUUAGUCGAGCCUGUCAAUCCGAAGGGUUGGGGUCCUGGGAGGCUAGGAGGUGUUUCCAGUUACACGGGCGAGGUGCUCGGGUAUGCGGAGAUCAGCGGAUGCGUGGGUAUCUUUCGGGUAGAGGGGUAGGUGGUAGGGUAGUGAUAGCUCUAUCAUCCCUGGUAUUCCCCCAUGAUCAGGUAUUUCAAUAGGAGUUCUGUAAAGUCCCUAUGGGCUGGAUGUCCAGCUGUGGGGAUCUCCCAGAGCCUCAGACUUAUUUCUAACUCUAGUUAUAUUGAUUAGAUGUUCUAUCAAUUCUUUGCAUAGUUAUAUAAGAUCAAUGCCGGCUCAAGUAGUUGUUCUUUAUUUCUUUUAUUUCCUUAUUUUCUCUUUAUUCCUUGAGGUUGCCCCGAUGAGUGUGUCCACUAUCCAUAUUUAAGAGCUUGUCGUGACCCCUGAUUAGACUAUGUCUACCUAUGCAUCUCAACAAGUGAUCAUGCUACAAACUAAGCUAGAUGCAUUUGUUACGCCCUCCUACAGGAUUAAAUACGAUAACCCUUGAAUACUCACGGGUUGAAAUGCUACAAUGAUAGUUCUGUUCGCUUGCAGUUUUAUUCUUUAUAUUCAUGAACUAUUGAUUGGCGUACCUAAGUACCGUUACUUAAGAUUGUAAACUCUAUGCAAUUAUCUGGCGCCUUGCUACAGCUUUGCACAUCGUAAGUAAGGAUGGUUAGGAUGCCCAAUCUGGCAUUCCUAAUUAUUGUUACCAGACUGCACUGCUAAGGCCAGCGCCGUUAAAGGCCUUGGGUUAUCUCUCUGACGUAACGAUAGUUAUUGUAUACCAACACCCGACAUUUCUGGUGCCAUUGCUAAUGAUGGAUUUAUAGUCUAUCUUUAGUAGUGAUGCUAAGAAAUGCCAACAGACUACUUAGCAUUCUUAACCAUCAUGAACUUGAACAAUUAGACGGUUGCAAGUGCUAAAACAAAGUCUAUGUUGUUGUGAGACAUGAUAUAGCUAAGAUAAGAGAUCUAUACUAUUGUACUAAGCAUGCAUGAUUGCCAGAGAAUUUAUUUUUUUAAGAUGAAUAAAAACUUAAUUGUUCCUCAAUGGUGUUAAAUUCCUACCACAAGCCAUAUAUGCUCUACAUGAUAGAAACCCAACAUAUAGGCUACUUGCAUGUGUUGAGAGUUGUCAACUCUUGUUGACCCUUGGUUUAGAGUUGUGUCAUGCUCAAUGAGAUCAAGAUCCACACCAUCCACAUACAUCUGCUGGUCCUACACUGGGAGUAUGCAACAUUUCAUACCAUUUCAUUCCAUUCCACCAAAUAUAGAUGCUCCAUGCUUUAAGUGUAGAAUCUCUCUCUAAUAGCUGAAUGUUAGAUGAGACACAAAGCAAAGGCUAUAGAAAAAAUAAUCAUCUUGUUAGGAAGGACAUCAUCAAGUCCUUGAAAAAAAGAGAGAAAAAUGCUAGCCUUGUCUCAAUAAAAAAUAGAAAAAAUAGAGAGAGCACAAUCAAAUAAAGGAGCCAUCUACCCAUCAUACUCAUACCAACUUUCUGCAUUUAUAUCUUGAUCUUGAGCAUAACACUACUCUUCCUCCAAGGAUCCGAGGUUUGACUUCACAACAUAUGCAAUGGAAGUAUGCCAUCCCCUUGUUCCUACCUUGAGCUCCACAUAAGCCUUUAUUAUAGUAGGAUUACAUAGAGAAGGCAACUUACUCAUGUGCCUUGGUAAGGAUUUAUACACCACUUGAGUGACUUGAGAGAAACCAUAUGAGGAACAUUAAGAUUUCCUUUGAAAAACUUAGCAAAAACCUCUAGCAUGAAACUUGCUAAAGAAUGAGAAAAGUAGAUGUCCAGUCAAAGCUGUUCUAUCUGUCGACAUUGCAAGACUGAGUUAAUGCUAUAAGCCCCAUGGGUGCUAAAGUAACAUUGGUGUGUUAGCAUUGCUAAGUUUUCCAUUCAAGGAGAAGUUCUUUGUUGUGCACUUAGUACUACUAAGAUGUUAACUUAGUGAUAAUACCUCAUCCAAUUGAACCAAGUCUUGAUUGUUUGCAAGGGACGAGCAAAGGUUAAGCUUGGGGGAUCUUGUUGACGGGAAAUAAGACCCUAUUCUAUAUACUCAAAAGCCCGUCAACAGUCCUCGAUUGAAGGAAGAUAAGCAUCACAUGAAUAUAUUUAUCACUAAUAAAGUUCCACUUGUACUCUUAGUUUGUUCAAUGUUGGGAAGAAGGAAAUGAGCCCUGUGGGCCCUAGAACCUAGAUGGGUCGACUAGAGUUUAGGCCCACCAGGGGCUCCCCUCCAUGGCAUGAGCCAUGGCAUACUCCAAGGAGUCAAUCCCCAACCCUUGGAUCCAAGUGUGCUUGCCCUCAAUGGUUCAAACACUUAGCACAUGGAUCCUUGGGCCCACAUGGAAGCAAGCAAGUGUGCAACUAGACUCAAUUUUGGACAACACUUCACAUGACAAGUGGGGAUACCACCAGGAGGCCAGUGGUGGGCCAGGGGCCCCAAAGGUCGGUCGGCCGACCGACCAAUUGGGUGAUGCCACCUGGCCCAGCCUCCCAACGACCUAAGGACCUUCCAGAAGGUCAGUGGGACCCAGUGUCAGCCACAAGGCAGGUCGACCAACCUACAUGUGGGCCCCAUCUAAAGUCAGUUCACUCCCAUCGACCUUUUCUCAUGUGUGGCAAUGCUCCAACCGUCCAUCUAAGGCUGUUGGGAGGUCAGUGCAGCCAAGGGUGGAGAAGGAAGGAGCAUGCAGAUCGCUGACGUGGCACCCCCUCUCUCACCCCUAUAUAAGGAGGGUCCUCCAUCUCCCAUGAGACAUCUUCUUCAUAUUUCAUUUCCAAAUCACACCUGGGAGAUCAAGUGUAGUGUUGUCUAGUCUAGAGUGGGAGUUAGAGUCGAGUCGAGCGAAGCUUGGGUCUUCGGAGCUGUCUUCUAGAGAGUAUGGUAUAGCUCUUGUACCUUUUCUUGUAUCACAUUCUUUGUAUCAAUAUAGUCUUUCUUUACUUUACUAAGUAUUUACUUGAAGUCUUUACUUUGAGUAUUGCUUAGUGCGUUACUAUACUUGUAGUAGUGUUGUGUCUUAGUCUUAUUAGUGUUGCUGCCUUAGUUAGAUUAGUGUCUUCAACACCUUGUGUGUGUUCCACUACCAUUAGGCUCUUUGGCUAUUUAUAUGAUAGUUGAAGUUAUAAGACUAGUGUAAGCGAGGUGCUUAGGCUAGCGCUUAUUAGUGGAUGCCACCAUGUCAAACAUGUUAGCGGGCGGCGGCGAGGCGUGAUUGGCCUCUGCUUCCCAGUAGGUUCUAUUCACGUCGGGUACGGACUGUAGGCGCCCAUAAGACAAAAGUCCGCUUGGAUAGGAGUUUCGUCCUCCUAUUGCAGUCGACUUCCACCACACAAGACUGUUUGGAUACUAAUCUAGUUGAGUCAUCUACACUAAUUAUGAUUAGAACACAGAAGUAGAGUUAGAUACAUAGGAGUCCUUACUCACUCGUUGUCCUCCCACCUAGCUAGCUCACUACAAGUUAUCUUUACUUACCUUUAUCUGACUUAUCUAUUAUUCUAUCUUGCUACACUUACCCGCCUGUUAGCACUAGUGAACUUAGAUUGAGUAGACACAAACCAUGGAUAUCCAUCCAUAUAUUUAUUAGAGAGUCUUAGUCCACUUCCCAUGAGCGAACUAUAAAUUACGACACCGCGGAUACUCACCACGGUUGAAGUGCUACAGCGGUACCUGUGCGCUUGCAUAGUUACCCUUGGUACGUCUUGCGUCACCACUAGAGUUUAGCGUUGCUUAGCAUUUCUGGAGCCGUUGCUCAGGGUAGCCUGACACCCUAUCCUAGUAACAUCUCAGACUUGCAAUUAAGUAGUGCUGGUUAGGCACCACCAUUUCUAGAUACUUGUCACAUCUUACUCUAGCAAGUGUGCGUUUAGAUUUGCCAACACUCGGCUAGCCACCAGAGGGGAUCGGCCGAUCCCCCUAUGACAGGUGGGGCUAGCCUAGGUCGGUUGUCUGGUGUCCCCACUUGUCAUAGAGUCUGGUUCUCCAUCUUGUUGUACUUUGUCAUGCCGGUUCUUCUGACAUGUGGACCCAUGAAUCCGUGUGCUCUUGAUUUCAACCAUUGAGAGAAAGCACACUCUGAUCUGAAGGCUGAGAAUUGCUUCUAGCAGGUUGCCUUGGAUCAUGCCUACGUGGCACCUUGAGAAGGUGGCAUAGGGGGAUCAGCCGAUCCCCCAUGUGGGCCCAUCGUGGUUGCUUUUUGUGCCAUUUCAUGCUACUUGCGAAUCACAAGCUAAGAGUACAAGUGGAACUAGUUAUUGAUAAAAUGUGUUCAUGAAUGUUUAAUCUUCCUUGAAAUCGAGGCCUGUUGACGGUGUUUUGGAUGUGCAUUUUGAUGCUACAAUUACCAUCAAUAGGAAUCUUAUCACCUUAGUCCCUAGUCUUGGGAUGAUGAUGGUUCUAGGGUCUUCUAGAGUUUUCCGAGUCGUAUCCAUCGCGGACUUUCUCUCCUAUGCUCCAAAUAUGGAAAAUGAUAUAUAUGUCUUGAUCGUCUCAAUGAGCUCUCUACAAUGGUGUACUUAGAUCCUUCAGUUAAGACACUUUUAUUUGGUGAUUCUAGUCCUUUUCUAGUUUAACCCCUAUAAAACAUAGAUUCACCAAAACUCGUGGAACCUGUUUGAUUCAAACCCUACAACUAUGCUUUUUGGCUCAUAUCAUAUCUUAUCAAGUAAUAGUUUAUGGUUAAAAAUGAGCAAUAGUGACCGUCAACAAGUUCCCCAAGCUUACCCUUUGCUAGUCCCUUAGCAAAGCCAAUCUCAAUAAUGGAUCAGGAGUUGCUACAAUGCUUUCAUGCCUCAAAAGUACACAUGUGUUCAAACAAGAAUUCACCUUGGAUUGUAUUUAACUAUUCUGACUUUCAAACUUACUCGUAUUACCUUCAACCAUGGAGCUUUUGGCCUUCACUUGGGUCUUGAGUAGUUGAAAGAUAGAACAAUGUCAAGCAGUGUGUCUCAUGUUCUUUUAUCAACCUUUAUUAUGGAGAUUUUGUAAGUUUUCAAAAUAAAACUCAGAGAUUCCUUUAUAUGACCCUUGCUAGUCUCUCAUAUGUGAUAUUUGUGGAUCCUUACCAAGGUGAUGAUGGUAUUUUGCCUUCUCUUUUUUACUCAGAAUAUGUGGUAAUGGAAUAAGGUAGAGUAGCAUCAUGCCUCCUCUCUAUCACCCUAUAUCUAAUAGGAUUGUAUGGAGCUGAGGGUAUUUCAAGGAUGUAGCAUACUCACCUUGCAUGUGUUGCUUAGUCUAAACCAGGAUCCUUAGAGGGAGAGCAUACCCUUAGAUCAAGAUGUGCAUAUGUGUGGAAAUAUUUGGUGGCUAACCUAAUUCUACUUUGCUCUGCCUCUACUGAAGAAUUUAUGAAGAACUUUGUUGUGGAGGAUUUGGGAUAUCUUCUUUCUCCUUUCUUUGGUGAAAAUGAUGAACUUCUAGGCAUAAAGAUCAUAUACUUAUCUUUUUUUCUCUUCUUUUCCCUUUUUAUAAAGGAUCUCCUGCCUCAUACUUUGGAUACAAUGAACUUGGAGAAGAUGUAAAUCACAAUAUUGGGGUAUUUAUUUGGAAACCUAACAAUCUUUUUGGAUCUUCUCCCAGUGUAGGAGAUAGAUUUUUUAGGGUAGAAAGGCAUGUUUUUGCGUACUCCCAGGGUAGGAGCAGUAGGAUAUAUGUGUGUGUAAGUGAUCUUGAUCUUGGGAGCAUGACCAUCCUCUAAACAAUGGUCUCAUAGGAUGACCAAACUCAAAACAAAGCAAGCAGCUUAUGAGCUGGUUUUCCUAGUCUAGUAAGCAUAUAUAUGGCUGUGGUAGGAAUUAAAGCUCUUGUCAUACAUGAACUCAUCAUGUAGCAACUCAGUGUCAAUAAGAACAAGAUAAACAACAACUCAGACAUUUUAUAUCAUAUUCGUCAAUCACCUACACUUAGAUCAAACAUUCGCUACCCACAAGUUUCAAGUUUAGAGCAAAUCUUAGGUCAAAACAAUCAUUUCCAAAACUUGGGAGAGUUCAAGGUUGAAAACUAGACACUUGAAAAGAAUUACGGCAGAGUGAAAGGUCCUAAUAUGGCUAGAGGGGGGUGAAUAGCCUAUUAAAAAUCUACAAACUCACUAGAGGAAGAGGUUAGUAAAUACAAAGUGAAGCUUUUUGCUCUAGCUCUAAUGGGGUGUUUGUAAGCAACCUAUUCAACAAUUCUAGUUGGUAAGAUCACUAGGCACACAAGAGCUAUGUCACUACAAGCUACACUAGUGAGCUAUACUACACAAGGCAAAGUGACCAACAAAACUAAUUAUACUACUUUGCGGUAAAUAGAGAAUAAGACGAGAUAUUUAUACCUGUAAUACCCGAUUUUAAGGACCAUAAGUGAGUUUUAGAAGCCAAAUCUCACAUAUAGCUACAAAUGAGGGGUAAUAUCAAAAGACAAUGCAUAAAUUAUAUAACGUACAUAAUAUAAAAGAGAUAACCUUUGAUAACAAUCAACGGAUAGACAACUCGAACUUCGGGUAUUUACUUCUCUCUACAGGAUCCAACUGACUGGUUGAUCACGAACCUAACACAAUUUGAAUGGGUCAAAUCGGAGUUAAAAUGAAUAUUUUAUGGCCAAAAGAAAGUCAGUGGCAAUUCUGUAAAUAGUGAAAACAUAUUUUUAAUCUAAAACCGAGUUGUUUGUAUUUUCCAAACUGAAAGAUAAAGUGAUUGGGGCUUACGUUGGUGGAUAGGGAGUAGGUUCACCGGCAGUGACGCUUUCUUGGAGCUACAGCAACGCCGGAGCAGCCGACCGUUCGUAGAUGUCCUGUAUAGGCGAGACGAUGACGAUCACGUUGUAGAGAAAAAAAUAUAAAUUUUAUUUUACUACCUUAGGAAUUCUCAAAUUAGAGGCUUCCUAUAUGAUAGUCUUUGAUGUGCUUUGCCUAAGGGGUUGGCACAUAUAUAUAGGGAGAAAAACUUUCCACCUCCACGUCAACUAGCGAUAUGGUACUAAUUGAUUCACAACCUUCAUCUUUACUAAUAGGUCUAAUUAAUUAUUAAAGCCCAUUAGUAAAUAACUACAUGAUUUUUGGGAUUUAUUAUGGGCUUCGACGUUGGAAAAAAAUAAUAAGAGAUUUAUUAUUUUUCGGAAUUAAUUAUUUUCAUUGAUAAAAUAAUUGUAGACAAGUUUAGAAUUAGUAGUUAAGCCACGAAAAAUACUCCGAAAGCUCCGAAAAUUCGGAAAAAAUUCUCAGAGAUAUUAUAGGACAUGGGGAACCCCAAUAAAGUUUUUGGAGCUCAUGAUAAGAUUAUUUAGAGCAUCUAAAAAUUAGAUCAUGCUCAGAGAAUAGUGAGAACAGAAGAUGGAAAAAAUCCCGAAAAGUUUGUAGAGAGUGCUUGAUGGACGAGGAACUAAAAGAAGUGCUAUGAGUGACAAAGAAAAUAUUUUAGGGAGGUCCUAAUAAAAAUUUAAGCUUAAAAACAAGGAAUUUGGUUGUAGAUAAAACAUAAAUACGUGCCGAAUAAGGAAGAUCGAUCUACUAAACGUAUUUUAAAUAUUUUUCUUACUAUCAACACAUAAAGGAGCAACAAGCAUCACAUCAAAACAUAUGCACCAGCAUGUAUGCAUAAUAAUAUUGCUAAGCCUUAUGAUAAAUUUUAAUUUAAUGAAAAAUAUUAUUUUCCUAUAUUUUCAUGAGCACAAAAACACAAAAAUAAAUAAUUUUAUCUAUAUUUCAAAAGGAGUAAAUUUUAGGAUGUUACAAUACCGCCGUGUACGGGAUAAACCAAUCACCAAUAUAGACAAUCAAACACCAGGAGAAUGCCAAUCAAUCAUAAUUAAGACACUGAUUUUUCUCCCAAGGUUGACAUGCUUGCCGACACGCUACGUCCCCGUUGUGUCGACCAACACUUGGUGGUUCGGCGGCUAAGAGGUGUAGCACGAACCUCGUCCUCACUAGGACACCGCAAGAACCUACACACAAGUGAGGUAGCUCAAUGACACAAGCAAUCCACUAAUGUUGCCUUUGGCUCUCCGCUGAGGUAGGCACAAACCCCUCACAAUCACCGGGAGAUGGUAACGGACAAUCACCAACUCGUGCCAAAGCUCCUCCGCUGCUCCAAGCCGUCUAGGUGGCGGCAACCACCAACAGUAACAAGAAAACCGUAGCCAAAUCCUGAUAAUCCCACGUCUUCGCAUUGUCGCUCGAUCUCAUCCUUGUGGAGCCACGGAUACCGGUAUGGACGUAUCGCCGCUGGUGCAGAGCCUGGCAGAAGAUGAAUCCGAUGAUCGAUCUUGGUAGCAUGCCGGUGGCAGGCCGCGUGGCUCCUCGAAGAUGUUCUGAUAGGACUGCAACAGCUCUAGGAUAGGCAGGGGUCAGCGACGGCACGAGCUGCCACCCUGUUGCUGCCCAGACCAGUCUANNNNNNNNNNNNNNNNNNNNNNNNNNNNNNNNNNNNNNNNNNNNNNNNNNNNNNNNNNNNNNNNNNNNNNNNNNNNNNNNNNNNNNNNNNNNNNNNNNNNGGAGUAGUUUGCUUAGGCUCACAAGGAUGUCAAGUAUGCUAGAAUGCCAAGAAAGUGAACCCCAAGCCGGCCAACAACUAUUUAUAAGCCCUUCAAACAAAUAGAGCCGUUGGCUCUUUCAUUUGGUAGAAAACGAGGUCACAGAACGCGUCGCAGGGAACCAUCGGUCGCUCAAGCCCCGCAUCUGGUGCCCUGAAAACUGCUAUGUGUCCCCCUUUCCACUUUCGCGCGUCGAUCUCUAACGGUCACCUCUAGAGCACCGGAAAUGGUCAAGUUGGCACCGGACGCGUCUGGUGCACACCAGCCACAUGCGUAGAGAGGUCUGCAAAUGCAUGAGGUCACUCGAUGCUGAGCACACCGGUCUCAUAGGCAGGGAGGUUCGCAAUCAGUUCGCACACCGGACGUGGAGCACCAGACACUCCGCUGCGUCCGGUGCCCUGUCAGAAAACUACAUAGUCUAGCGCACUAACGCUAACUAGCACCAGACUCGCACACAGUAGACACAGGUGCGGGGCGUCUAGUGUGCUUUGCACUCUCUGGUCAGACAUCGACAUAGCACCGGACGCAUCCAGUGCCUUUGUGCACUACGUCCGGUGAGUGUUUCUUAGCGAGAAACACUCCCAUGACUUCUCCAAACUUCCCAUCGGCGCAAUAGAAAAUAUGCAUUUCAUUUUUUCAAAAGCAAACCCAAACCCUUUCUACCCUUUAGACUCCACCUCCUUCUCAAAGUGUGCCAACACCACCAAGUGUGUACCAACAAGAGCACGUGUGUUAGCAUUCUCACAAUCAUUUUCUUCGAAGGGGUUAAGUUAUCUCACUAGGUUCUAAAUGCAUGCACAUUAACAAUGACACCUAGUGGCACUUGAUAACUGCUUAGCCAAAGAAUUCUCCUCUUUAUAGUAUGGCUAUCUAUCCUAAAUGUGAUCACACCCUCUAUGGUGUCUUGAUCACCAAAACUAAAACCCUAAGCAAUACCUUUGCCUUGAUCUCCAUAGGGUUUUGUUUUUCUCUUUCUUCUUUUCCAAGUUGAGCACUUGAUCAUCUUGUGUUCAUCACCAUGAUCAUCACUUGCUCUACCACUUGGCAUGUACUAACAUCAUUAAGUCUACACACACUUAGUGUAGAGGUUAGUACUAGGGUUUCAUCAAUUAUCCAAAACCAAACUAGGGCUUUCAAUCUCCCCCUAUUUGGAAUUGAUGACAACCCUUUUACAAAGAUUUUCAAUAAAUUUUCUUUGGAUUCAUGUUGCUUGCCCAAUCAUUUUACCAUAUGCAAGGUUAUGGACAAGUUUCUUAAACCCAAAAUGGUAUCAAUUUGUCCCCCUACAUAUGUGCUAAGAGUUUGGAUUUGAAAGCUUGCACAUAUGCCUGAAUAGGAAAUAUAGGAGUCAAUUUCUACCAGAUGAUGCUAAGGUGUAAAGAAUGGACCUUUGAAGCGUGAUACCAAUCAGAGUUGCCAAUGUAUACCAUCCUUAGCACCAUUAGUAACUAGACAUUCAUAAAACUAGAACACCCCGUGAGAUCAACAAUAUAAACAAGGUUCUAGUACCACUUGUGAAACAACUAAAAGUCUAGUUACACUACCUAUGCAUGCUAGUUCUUCAUUUCAUCAAGCAAACCUAUAACUAGCAUACACCACACAAGCAAGGUAUCAGAGAGAAAGCUUAAGCUAAUGCAAAUGCAAGCAAACAUAUGUGAUGCACAUUCAAAUGCAACAUACAUGUUUAUAAGCUUGCUCCCCUAGUUGUGUGCUUCAAAAUUUUAAUUGAUCCCCUUCUUUUAUCAUGUUACUCCCCUAUCUUUGUACUUCUCCCCUUUUAGCAAAUCUUUGGGAAAUUCUCUCCCCCUUUGUCAUCAAUGACCAUAAAAGGUGAGCUCAAAUUUUAGAUAGGUUAGUGUGAGACCAUGUGAAGUGAAAUAAUUUUUCCAAAUUGGUCCAAUCUCGAUUACUUGCCUAAGAUAUUUACUCGGUUUGAUCCAAGGACAAGCUUCUUCACACCUCCAAAUAAGGGUUAUCUUGUACCAUGUUGAGUUAAACACUUAUAGCUCAUAUUCUAGAUCAAACACUAGGAUUGCAAGCCAUGUAAAAACAUGUCAUAUGCUACCACUAGAUCAUUUCAACCAUAGAAGCAAUAGUGGUACUGUUGAUGCAAAAGCUGAUCUGCAAACACAAAGGGCCAAUACCCGAUUCAAACCUUAAGGCGUGCCAGCUGAUUUUACCUUACAACUGACAAAGGUGGUAACUCGAACACUUUGGUCCCGACAACAGCGAUGCGCCCGGAUGUCACGGCCAAGAGGUGCUCACGCGAAACUCGAGAAUUCGUCGAGAUUGACUCGAAGAAUCCUUAAGAACUCAUAGUAAAAAGCAAAUAUGACAAAGUCGUCCAAAAGUAGAUGCUAGAAUAUGUGUAAAAACUUAUGUUUGAUUGAUUGAUCGAUUUUUUUUGUUACAUUGCCACAGGGUCUACAUUUAUACCCUGUUCCAAAAGAGUUACAACCAGACACGAUUAGGACUCAAAAUCCAAUUUGAACAGAAUCUGUAUACAAAACAAACUCUAAAAAUUACGGAAAACAUUAAAUCAUCCUCCACAGCCGAUCGGUACACCGCCAUGAGUCUAUCGACAACCCCUGCGCCUUUCUCCAUGAUCAUCGGCAAGCCACCUCUCAUAGCCAUCGGCAACCAUUAGCACCAGUCAUCGGCACGAAUCCAUCACUACUCCUGGACUUAGCCAUAUCCUGUCGUUUUUCAUCGGCACCAACCCUCAUCGGCAACUCUUCUGUAGACUAGCCACCACUUCCCUGCCUGCCGAUCUACACCUCAUUAACUUUAGAUACCCAUCCAAAGAUACGUGUCCAAAAACGGUGUCAACACAUGCCCCCCAAUUUCGAAGUAUAAAAUCAUUAAUGCUUCGAAAUUCUCCUCAGUGAUGAUGCCUAAAAUCUCGCAACUUCUCGAACCGAAUCCCCCAGAAUACGUUCAUCGGCAACAUUUCUGUUAGAGAAGACUGCCGAUGAACCAACUAGGUGAUCUUGCACAGUAAGAUAUCUCCAAAAUCAUGACCGCUUGCAGUCAAAUCACAUGCGCAAUCCCUUGAUUACCGUGCGAACAGUUACCAUAUCCACCUGAACACCCUCGGAUUUCUCGGAUGCAACGAAGUGAUAAGUCAGAUUUGCCCCUGCCCUCUUUGUCCUAUAAAUACUUCCUUCUCCGGUACUCUUCUACCAUCGUGUCAUUCUAUAGCCUCAUACCCACCUUUCUGGCGGCGGCACUGCUCAAGAACUUCAAGAACUCCGGUCAAGGAUCUCCUCCGGCAAUCUUCCGGGUCUUAGACUUCUUCCUCUCUCUGAGAAGAAAUGGCCAUCAACUUCGUCGUCCCUGUUGACGAUCCUUAAGUAUCAAAUUUAAUUAUCAAAUAAACAAAGAAAAGGAUCCAAAUGAAAUCAACAUCCAGACUUAGGGUUUUAUCUGACAGAAUUCCACGAGUUUUAGUGUUUGUCUAUUUCUGCAGGGGGUUAUCAGGAAAUACGGAAGAAAGGCCCACACGUCGGGAUUACAUAGAGAUAUCAAUGUGCCGUGCAAUUAUCUUACAUCUAGAAGACUCCAGAAGCCACGGGAAGGAAGCAGAGGCCGAACGGGGCCAGGCACUGGGCGCCCGCCCAGUUGACCUGGGCGCCCGCCCCCUCCUGGAGUCCAAUCACGACUCUCUUUCGGGAAAGAUCUCCACCGACCUAAAGGAUCAAGGAUAACCGUUCAAUCAAUGUCAGUUUGAUCCAACGGCCCAUAUUCACUUGAAGGGACUAUAAAACCAGACCCCCUGACCCCUGGAGGAGAGAGCCUCUCAACCCUAGUUCAUUAUUCUCAAGGGAGAAGAAGCCUCUGAUCAAGAUUAGAGCCACCACAUCAAUUAGAUAUCUAGAUUAGCAUAGCUACAUAGGAUUAGAACUAUAAGGAGACAAUCUUCGAUUGGUUUUCGGAUCUGCCAAGAGGAUUCUUGGUAAUUCUCUAAUUAUUCUUCUAAUUGUUCUUCUAAUCAUCUUUGUUCUUCAAUAUUAUGAAUAUGACUUUGUUCUACUUCAAUAUAUUGCUUAUGACUUUGCUCUACUUGUUUAUAUUCAAGAUUAUAUUGUUCUUAGUUUAUCAUAGUUAUAUACUUGGCAUAGUUAGACUGGAUCUAUAUACAUGUUUAGGAUCGUAUAGCGUUUAUCCGUCGGAUCCAUGGGUAAAUGAUAGAUAUUGUGUAGGCGUGGUGCUUAUACCGUAUUUAUCUGCGAUUGUACCCAAUAUGCCAGAUCGUGGGGUAGUUCAUGAUAGUGACAGCUUCAUUGAUUCUUAUAUAGUCACCCCCUCGUGUAUUGGGCUGGCAGAGCAACAUCAUUACAGGGGAGUGAUUGCUAUGUUUCUCAUAUUCCAUGCUAAUAUCACUAUGCAUGGGCGUAGUCUUGUCUGACAAUGAUUGCUAAGUAUGCUUGCACUAACUAUGAUAAUGCUAGACUAUAUAGGUUAGAAUAACUUAGGAAAUAUUAUUGUAGUUUGUUCUAAUACCAUGCUAAUGACUUUCUAGAGUAUCUAAUUGAGGUGCUUAUCAUAUUUAUUAUGUGGCUAAGUUAUGCUGAUCAGAUUAAUUAUCUUUGUCACUAUUCAUUACUUCAUAUAUCCUUUAUGUGACACUUAUCCCUGUAUGAAAGAGUUAGAUAAAUAUUCUCAAUUAUACAUGCAAUGAUAGAUACUCAAUCUCAUAUUCUAUUCUAUAAUCAAUAUUGAUGGUUGCUAAUCCCUUCGCAGUGGUAAAAAUAUAAAUAACGACACCUGGAAUACUUCCCGGUUAAAAUGCUACAUCGGUAUUAAUAUGUGCGCUUGCAGAUCCCAUUCAUUAUUUAUUUAGAAGAGCAAUUGCAUAUUUCAAUACCGCGCUCUCAUGUCAUGCUGGGGAUGACAACUUGGCUUAAGUGGUAUGAGGGAUAGGUUAGGCAUUUUUGGCACUGUUAUCAGAAUUAGAAAACUAAGUCUACUUUUGGUAAUGAUGUUAAGAAUACCCAACAAGCAUUUUUGGCACUGUUGCCGGGGAAGGUUGAUUACUAAUCAGGAAUGAAUAAAGGAUUUUGAGUUAUCAUUCGCAUCACUAAUAUUAUUGAGCUUAUCAAUUCUCUCAUACAGUUUUACCCCGAUAUUUUUCUAUUUUAUCUUAUGCAGGGUAAUGAAUGAAUAGAAGAAAUCUUCCAGGAAAUUUUGUUGACAAUCCCAAAGCGUUAUUCAGAAAAACUAGAGCCAAGCUCAAGAAGAGAUCAUCAACACUAUAGCAAGAAGCUUCAUCCAAGCAAGAAGAUCACCGGAACUUGUCUUCAGAGUUCGAAGCCAUGGUGAACAAAUCAAUCCGCGAGUUCUCAGCUCCCACUACGGACAACAUCCGCGCUGGACCUGCUGCAGAGAUCGAUGGCAACUUUGAGCUCAAGCCUGGACUUUAUCAACAUGGUGCAAUCCAACCAGUUCUGUGGGAAGGCACACGAAGAUGCUAGUGCUCAUCUCCAACACUUCCUGGAGAUUUGCAGCACAUUUACCAUACCAGGAGUUUCCAGAGAUGCUAUACUACUUCGCCUCUUCCCAUUCUCACUAUUAGGAAGAGCGAAGCACUGGUUUUACGCUACAAAGGAGAAGAAUACUACGUGGGCACUCUGCUCAACAAACUUCCUGGCUAAGUUCUUUCCCAUGGGCGAGACCAAUGCUCUCCGUGGGAAGAUUACAAGUUUUCAGCAACAAAAUGAUGAAUACGUUCCAGAAGCAUGGGAGCGCUUCCAAGACUAUAUCCUAGAAUGUCCCCAUCAUGGAAUGGAGAGCUGGCUACUAAUGCAGAUGUUUUAUCAUGGGCUCGGCAAUAGUGCCUGAGAAACCAUGGAUGCUGCAGCUGGAGGAGCAUUCCUAUCACUUACCAUAUCACAAGCCACAGCUCUUGUGGAGAAGAUGGCGUCCAACCAAGGCUGGAAUGAAGAAAGGACCCAGACACGCAAGAGAGGUGGAGGUAUGCAUCAGCUCAAGGAGGUAGACAUGUUGUCUGCAAAGCUAGACCUGCUCAUGAAGAAGCUCGAUGAUAGAGCUAGAGAUAAUUAAGAAGUUAUGCACAUCUACGACUCUCACAUGACUUGUGAGGAGUGUGGAGAUACUGGACACUCAGGCAAUCACUGCCCUGAGAUCAAGGUUGGAAUCAACAGAGGCCUAACUACUCAGGUAAUUAUCAAGGUAACAAUUCUUACAACAAUAACAAUAAUUUUCCACCUCUGAGAGAGUUAGUGUCUAAUCAAGAAAGUUAAUGGAUAACCUAUCUAAAAAAUUGGCAGCUAAUGAUAAAAUGCUAGAAAAUAUAAAUAAUAGAAUGGAUAAUUUCUCUACUGCCAUCAAGAAUCAAAUUAGCUUUAAUAAAAUGAUUGAAUCUCAGUUAAAUCAAAUAGUUGCUGCUGUUCCUACUACUAACCCCGGUAUACCAUCACAACCGGAAGGAUUAGAAUCUGCAAAUCUUGUAGACAUGUUUGAUGUAGGUAAUUGGAGUAACCCCGUCACUGAAUUCACUACUGACCUUAUGCCGGUCAAGAGAGGCGAUCCAGGACGCCCCAUCAUCACGAUCUCCAUCGGCAUGGUGGACGUCCCUGAAGCACUCUACGACUUUGGCUCCAGCGUUAACAGUAUACCCAGGGUACCCUAUGAAAAAUUCUUUACAUAUCCUUUAUUAGAAACAACCAUGUGUUUGCAGUUUGCAAAUCAGGCAUUAAGUUUUCCAAAAGGAAUAUUGAAGAACCUUUGUGUCCGAGUUGGUACCUUAUAUGCCCUAGCAGACUUGGUGGUGAUAGAUACCGGUAAUGAUGAGAGAGCACCCAUCAUCUUAGGGAGGCCAUUCUUGAACACCUCGGGAGCUGUCAUCUACGCUAGUGCUGCCAAGAUCAGUUUCUACACCAAAAGGAGGAAGGAGACGUUUUCCUUCAAGAACAAGACUACACAAAUCCCAGAUCAAUCCAGACGUGAAUCAAGGAAGAGGACCAACAGGAGGAACAUGAACAAGCAAGUGUGGACCGAGUCAGCUAAGAUGGUCACUGCAGUUCAUGGAGGUCAACAUCAUCAACUUAAGUCACCAUUUUUGACCAAGAAGGACGACCUAGGAAUGCCAAGAAUCUAUUGCUCCAUAAAUGGGUACAACUUCUACAAGACGACUUGUGACACCAGAUCGGGCGUCAACAUAAUGGCCGCAGUCACCUAUCGGCUCUUGUUCGGAACCAUGCCCCUAAAACCAACAUACAUUCAGCUCCAGAUGGCAGAUCAGACAUUUCGAGAGGUUAAAGGAAUAGUAACUGAUGUCCUAGUCAAAAUAGACGAUCACUUUGUCUACACAGACUUUCAGGUUAUUGACAUGGGAGAAGACGAAUACGAUCCACCCAUCAUCCUUGGAAGACCGUUCCGACCGUUCCUCAGUACCGUUAAAGCAAUCAUCUACAUUGGAACCGGAGAAAUCCAUAUGCACUUCUCCUCAGAAAAGGUACGCCGCUAUUUUACUGACCCUAACUAUAUCGUUGAAGGCUCUAAGCAAGUCAGAAAACGACGCAACCGCAACCAGAGGAGGGAAAUCAUCAAGGACGGAUGGGUAGACUAUGAAGGAGAAGUGGUAAGGUCAGAAGACAUACAGUUUAAACAAAAUUAUCCAGAGGAGACCGUAGCACCGAGUCACGUAUGGAAAGAGAAGAUGAAGAGGAGGCGCCGCCGGAAGUACCGACUCCGCCACCCAACGAAUCCGAGGACAACUAGAAAACGGAGAGUCCCGUUCGGAGGACUUAAAAACACCAAACGCCUUGCCAAGAGGUAAACUUGGUAGUUAUCUUUUUUCCCUUUUAAUUAUUUUAAACUGUUUGCUUAGUUAAUCAUGUUCAUGCUAUCCUAAAAAGAAAAUAAAAAUGUUAAAAAACAGUAAGCCCCAUGUGAGUAUACGAGUGGCAUGAAACCCAUAAGUACAUUCACCGUGGUGGCAUAAAAAUAAAAUAAAUAUUUUUUUUCUGCUUUAGAAAAUGAAAAUAUAAAAAUACAGAGUAAUAUUUAUUGAGGAGGCUCAACAUGAUAAAGGCUAAGAUAUUUAUGCGAACACUUAAUCAGUUCCACAAAGCUUUGUUGUCUAUUUGAGAUCCACGGAAUUUAAGAAUCAAGAAGACUAGCAGACGGAGGACAUUCUAAUCGCUGUCAAGAUACUGCCGACUUUCGAAUACACCUCUGCCACCUGCUAGCUACAAUAGGAGAAAUUACGUCAAAAUUCAGCUUGGCGG